RNAcentral lists this long non-coding RNA (62260 nucleotides) under Sorghum bicolor (sorghum). Its description in RNAcentral is "long non-coding RNA (SBIC_LNC002983)". The stretch from base 3799 to 3905 matches the Rfam family "Plant small nucleolar RNA R71". The record is from RNAcentral. Lineage: Eukaryota; Viridiplantae; Streptophyta; Magnoliopsida; Poales; Poaceae.
GGUAUAAGGCAUAGUGACAUUGCCUUCUCUCUCACCCUGCUCUAAUAAGGCUUUAAUAUCUGGAGCUCAUAGGUGGGAGAUAAAGUAUACAUACUUACAAGACAUUUAUUGCAUAGUCAAACCAUGGAUCCAAAGAAACAAGUCAAUAAGUCAAAUCAAGAUGUGCAUGUGUGGCGAAUGAAUGGUGUAUGGUGAUGAUGGUGAUAACAAUGGUGAAAGUCUAAUUCUACUUGUUGCUCUUUUGAGGGGAUGCAUACCUUUAUUGCUCUUUGAAACUUUUUGAGGAGAAUGAGAUGCUCUUCUUUUUCCUUUUCUUUCCUCUCAGGUGGGUAUCUUGUACCCCUAAUUCUAAUGUCGGACACUUGUCCAUUUUUACCUCUCGUCUCACUUUUUCCUUUCUUUCGAGGCGCCGGGCACUUGCCCCUUUUUAUUUUCUCGUAUCUCUUCUCUCUUUUUUUAGAGCACUCAUCUCCUGAAAUAAUAUAGCAAGUGGCAGUAAUCAAGAUAACUCGAGCAUUUAUUUCAUAGGGGAAAACAGAAUUGUUUUUGGCUAUUCUCUCCCGGAUUAGGAGUAGAAUACUUUUGGGUGGUUCUGGAGAUGGUAAUGAGUGGAUAUAUGUGGAUGCGUACUUCCGUAGUAGCAGCAUGUGUGAGUGAACGUGCAAGUGAAUCUUGAUUUAACCACAUGACAAGCUCCUAAGGGUCUACACAGCUUGACCACACUCAAUGCUCAUAAGCAGUAAAAAGUAAAUGUGUGGCUCAAAGUCUAGCAAGCAUGUAUAUAUAGCUGUGGUAGGAAUUUAAACUCUCAUCAUACAGAAACUCAUCAUGUGAUAUUUUAAAGAUUUUCAAAAAUAAAAUUCUCCAGAAUUCUAGCAUCUCUAGGAAUAGAUAAAUAGCAGCUCAACCUUCCCAUAUCAUAUCUGUUAACAACUUAGACUUUAGAUCAAGUUCUCUUCCCACAAGUUCAGGUUUAGAGCAAGCUUUAAAUUAUAACAGUUAUGUCUAAACUAGAGAGAGAACUUCAAAUGUGAAAAUUAGGCAGAGCAACUAUUCAUCAUAUCCAUGCUAGAGUUUUAUUAUGAAGAUUCAGUUUAGCAUAGCCACUUUAUUUAUUUAUUAAGCACACUAAGCAAAAGAUAUAUAUAUAUAUAAGCAUAAAAUCUUUAUUUGGUUUUUCAUAGUUAUGUAUAUUUAUAUUUUAAUAUAGUAUAAGUAUAAAUGUAGAUAGAAAUACUUAGCGAGAUAAAUGGGGGCGCUCUCCCCCAAGCUGGAUUUUGAUGUAAUUUCUUCUGAUGUAGCUAGCAGGUGGCAGAGGUGUAUUUGAAAGUCGGUAGUACCCUAACAACGAUUAGAAUGUCAUUCGUCUACUAGUCUUCUUGAUUCUUGAAUUUUGUGGAGCUCAAAUAGACAACAAUGCUUUGUGGAACUAAUUAGGUGUUAGCAUAAAUAUCUAGCCUUUAUCAUGUUGAGCCUCCUCAAUAAAUGUUACUCUCUAUUUUUAUAUUUUCAUUUUAUAGAGCAGAAAAAUAUCUUUAUUUUAUUUUUAUGCCACCACAGUUAAUGCACUUAUGGGUUUUAUGCCACUCGUGUACUCACAUGGGGCUUACUAUUUUUUAACAUUUUUAUUUUACUUUCCAAGAUAGUAUGAACAUGAUUAACUAAGCAAACUAUUUGAAAUAAUAGAAAGGAAAAGGAUAACUACCAAGUUUACCUCUUGGCAAGGCGUUCGGUGUUUUUAAGUCCUCCGAACGGGACUCUCUGUUUUCUCAGUUGUCCUGGGAUUCGUUGGAUGGCGUAGUCGGUGCUUCCGGCGGCGCCUUCUCUUCGUAUAUAGUUAUCUUCUCUCUCCACACCGGACUCGGUGCUACAGUCUCCUCAGGAUAAUCUUGUUCAAGUUGUAUGUCUUCGGACCUUACCACUUCUCCUUCAUAGUCUGCCCAUCCAUCCUUGAUAAUUUGCCUCCUCUGGUUGCGGUUGCGUCGUCUUCUUUUUGUCCUGACCUGCUUAGAGUCUUCAACUAUAUAGCUAGGGUCAGUAAAAUAGCAGCGUAUCUUUUCUGAGGGGAAGUGCAUAUGGACUUCUCCGGUUCCAAUGUAGAUGAUUGCUUUAACGGUGCUGAGGAACAGUCUCCCAAGAAUGAUGGGUGGAUCGUACUCGUCUUCUCCCAUGUCAAUAACUUGAAAGUCUGUAUGGACAAAAUAAUCAUCUAUUUUGACAGGGACAUCAGUUACUAUACCUUCAACCUUUCGGAAUGUCUGAUCUGCCAUCUGGAGCUGAAUGUAUGUCGGUUUCAGGGACAUGGUCCCGAACAAGAGCUGAUAGGUGACUGCGGCCAUUAUGUUGACGCUCGAUCCGGUGUCGCAAAGUGUCUUGUAGAAGUUGUACCCAUUGAUGGAGCAGUGGAUGCUUGGCAUACCUGUGUUGUCCUUCUUGGUCAGAAAUGGUGACUUGAGUCGACGAUCUUGACCUCCUUGAACUGCAGUGACCAUCUUAGCUGCGGUCCACACUUGCUUGUUCCUGAUCCUCCUGUUGGUCCUCUUCCUUGGUUCAUGUCGAGAUUCCUCUAGGAUUUGUGCAGUCUUGUUCUUGAAGGAAAACAUCUGCUUCCUCCCUUUGAUAUAGAAACUGAUCUUGGCAGCAGUAGCAUAGAUGAUAGCUCCCGAGGUGUUCCAGAAUGGCCUCCCUAAGAUGACGUGUGCCCUCUCAUCGUUACCGGUCUCUAUCACCACGAAGUCUGCUGGGGCAUACAAGGUACCAACUCGGACACAGAGGUUCUUCCAUAUUCCCUUUGCGAAACUUAAUGCCUGUUCUGCAAACUGCAAACAACACAUGGUUGUUUCUAAUAAAGGACAUGUAAAGAAUUUUUCAUAGAGUACCCUGGGCAUAAUGUUGACACUAGAGCCAAAGUCGCAGAGUGCUUCUGGGAAGUCCACCAUGCCGAUGGAGAUCGGGAUGACGGGGCGUCUUGGAUCGCCUCUCUUGACCGGCAGAAGGUCAGUAGUAACUUCAAUAAUGGGUUUACUCUAGUAGUUAUGUGCAUCAAACAUGUCUACAAGAUUUGCAGAUUCUAAUCCUUCCGGUUGUGAUGGUAUACCAGGGUUAGUAGCAGGAACAGUAGCAGCUAUUUGAUUUAACUGAGAUUCAAUCAUUUUAUUAAAGCUAAUUUGAUUCUUGAUGGCAGUAGAGAAAUUAUCCAUUCUAUUAUUUAUAUUUUCUAACACUUUAUCAUUAGAUGCCAAUUUCUUAGAUAGGUUAUCCAUUAGCUUUCCUUGAUUAGACACUAACUCUCUCAGAGGUGGAAAAUUAUUAUUAUUAUUGUAAGAAUUGUUACCUUGAUAAUUACCUAAGUAGUUAGGCCUCUAUUGAUUCCAACCUUGAUUUUGUUGAGGAUGGUUGUAGUAGUAGUAGUUGUUGAUGUAGUUCACAUCGUGAAGCAUCUCAGGGUAGUGAUUGCCUGAGUGUCCAGUAUCUCCACACUCCUCACAAGUCAUGUGAGAGUCGUAGAUAUGCAUGACUUCUUUCUUAUCUCCAGCUCUAUCAUCGAGCUUCUUCAUGAGCAGGUCUAGUUUAGCAAACAGCAUGUCUACCUCCUUGAAUUGAUGCAUACCACCACCUCUCUUGCGUGUCUGGGUCCUUUCUUCAUUCCAACCUUGGUUGGACGCCAUCUUCUCCACAAGAGCUGUGGCUUGUUGUAUGGUGAGUGAUAGGAAUGCUCCUCCAGCUGCAGCAUCCAUGGUCUCUCGGGCACUAUUGCCGAGCCCAUGAUAAAAUGUCUGCAUUAGUAGCCAGCUCUCCAUUCCAUGAUGGGGACAUUCUAGGAUGUAGUCUUGGAAGCGCUCCCAUGCUUCUGGAAUGGAUUCAUCAUGUUGUUGCUGAAAACUUAUAAUUUUUCCACGGAGAGCAUUUGUCUUGCCUAUGGGAAAGAACUUAGCCAGAAAGUCCGUGCAGCAGAGUGCCCACGUAGUAUUCUUCUCCUUUGUAGCAUAGAACCACUGCUUCGCUCUUCUCAACAGUGAGAAUGGGAAGAGGCGAAGUAGUAUAGCAUCUCUAGGGACUCCUGAUAUGGUGAAUGUGCUGCAAAUCUCCAGGAAGUGAUGGAGAUGAGCACUAGCAUCUUCGUGUGCCUUCCCACAGAACAGGUUGGUUUGCACCAUGUUGAUAAGUCCAGGCUUGAGCUCAAAGUUGCCGUCGAUCUCUACAGCAGGUCCAGUGCGGAUGUUGUACGUAGUGGGAGCUGAGAACGCACGGAUCGAUUUGUUCGCCAUGACUUCGAACUCUGAAGACAAGUUCCGGGUGAAACUCCGGUGAUCUUCUUGAUUGGAUGAAGCUUCGUGCUAAAGUGUUGAUGAUCUCUUCUUGAGCUUGGCUCUUGUUUUUCUGAAUAAUGCUUCGGGAUUGUCAACAAAAUUUCCUGGAAGAUGUCUUCUAUUCAUACAUUACCCUGCAUAAGAUAAAAUAGAAAAAUAUCGGGGUAAAACUAUAUGAGAGAAUUGAUAAUCUCAAUCAUAUUAGUGAUGCUAAUGAUGACUCAAAAUUUCAUAUUCAUUCCUGAUUAGUAAUCUACCUUCCCCGACAACAGCGCCAGAAAUGCUUGUUGGGCAUUCUUAACGUCACUACCAAAAGUAGACUUAGUUUUCUAAUUCUAAUAACGACGCCAAAAAUGCCAAACCUAUCCCUCAUGCCACUUAAGCCAAGUUGUCAUCCCCAUCAUGACAUGAGAGACGCGGUAUUGAAAUAUGCAAUUGCUCUUCUAAAUAAAUAAUAAAUGAGAUCUGCAAGUGCACAGAAUAAUACCGAUGUAGCAUUUUAACCGGGAAGUAUUCUAGGUAUCGUUAUUUAUAUUUUUACCACUGGGAAGGGAUUGCUAAACAUCAAUGUUGAUUAUAGAAUGGAAUAUAGAAUUGAGUAUCUAUCAUUGCAUGUAUAAUUGAGAGCAUCUAUCUAUCUCUUUCAUACAGGGAUAAGUGUCACAUAAAAGAUAUAUAAAGUAUGAAUGGUGACAAAGAUAAUUAAUCUGAUCAGCAUAACUUAGCCACAUAUAAAUAUGAUAAGCACCUCAAUAGAUAUUCUAGCAAGUCAUUAGCAUGGAAUUAGGACGAACUACAAGAACAUUUCCUAAGUUAUUCUCAAUAUACAGUCUAGCAUAUCAUAGUUAGUGCAAUUAUACUUGGCAAUCAUUACGAGACAGGACUACGCCCAUGCAUAGUGAUAUUAUCAAGGAAUAUGAGAAACAUCGCAAUCACUCCCUGUAAUAAUGUUGCUCUGCCAGCCCUAUACAUGAGAGGGGGACUAUAUAAGAAUCAAUGGAGCUGUCACUACCACGAACUACCCCGCGAUCUGGCAUAUAGGGUACAAUCGCAGAUAAAUACGGUAUAGGCACCACGCCUACACAAUACUUAUCAUUUACCCACUGUACACAUGGAUAAAUGCUAUACGAUCCUAAACAUGUAUAUAAUUCCAAUCUAACUAAACCAAGCAUAUAACUAUGAUUAACUAAGAAUAAUAUAAUUGCAAAUAUAAAUAAGUAGAGCAAAGUCGUGAUCAAUAUAUUGAUGUAGAACAAAGUAAUAUUCAUAAUAUUGAAGAACAAAGAUGAACAAUUGAAGAACAAUAGAGGAAUUACCAAGAAUCCUCUUGACAGAUCUAGAAACCAAUCGAAGAUUGACUCCUUCUAGUUCUAAUCCUAUGUAGCUAUGCUAAACUAGAGAUCUAAUUGAUGUGGUGGCUCUAGGGCUUGAUCAGAGGCUUCUUCUCCCAAAAUGAAUAAUGAAUUAGGGGUCUGAGGUCCUCUCCUCCAGGGGCUAGGGGUUCUGGUUAUAUAGUCCUUCCAAGUGAAUGUGGUCCGUUGGAUCAAACCGACAUUAAUCGCACGGUUUUCCUUGAUCCUUUAGGUCGGUGGAGCAUGAUCCGUGAAGUUGGCUGUGGUUGGCCCCGAGGCCAGGGCAGGCUCCCAAGGGGGAGGGCGGGCGCCCUGCCCCUAGGCCCGUCCAGUAUCUCGUUCGUUCCCCUGGCUUCUGGACUCUUCUAGAUGUAGGAUAAUUGCACGACACGUUAAUUACUCUAUGUAAACCCGACGUGUGGGCCUUUCUUCCAUAUUUCCUAAUAACCCCCUGCAGAAAUAGACAAACACCAAAACUCGUGGAAUUCUUUGUUGACGGUCCUUAAGUACCAAAUAUAGUCAUCGCAGAAAUGGAGAAGGGGAUCUAUAAUACGACCAACGCCCAGACUUAGGGUUUUAGCUGACAGAAUUCCACGAGUUUUGGUGGUUGUCUAUUUCUGCACACGGUUAUCAGGAAAUAUGGAAGAAAGGGGGCCCACACGUCGGGUUUAGAUAGAGAUAUUAACGUGCCACACAAUUUUUUAUCAUCUAGAAGACUCCAGAAGGCACGAGAACGAACGGGAAGGCGAUCGGGCCCAGGGGCAGGGCGCCCGCCCUCCCCCUUGGGCGCCCGCCCAGGUGUUGUGCCCAAUCAUGUUCAAUCUUGCGGAUUAUGCUCCACCGACCUAAAGGUUCAAGGACAACCGUUCAAUCAAUGUCGGUUUGAUCCGACGACCCGGAUUCACUUGAGGGGACUAUACAAGCAGACCCCCUGGACCCUAGAGGAGAACAAGUUCAUCAUAGAGUUGAGAGGUGCCCUCGAAGGAUAUCCUUUCCUCUAAAUAGACUUAGGGCUUAGCAUCCAAUGUGAGAGUAGACUAGAUCUACUAGAUCGAGAGAGAUAGAGUGGAGGUGUAGAUCAGAGGAAGCCCGGCCUGUCGGUGUCUACUCCGAGGUUGUACCUGCGGGAUCAAGUUCUCCUAACCCGAGGCUUGCUGCUAGGAUUCUUCAGUAAUUCGACUUCUAAAUUAUAGUAAGUUAUUGUUUUGUUGUUCUUUGGUUUAUGAGUUUACUUUAAUCUCUUCCGGUUGAGUUUAGAGUAAUCAUUGCUAGCGUAAACAUGGUGUUUGGGCUAGGGUACUCAUAGAUAUCCCCUGACUAGCUGGACCGUGGUAGUAGCGAGGAACGUGACAUUUCUGAGUUACCUUUGCAUCCCACAUCUUGUUAGCAGGACGGGUAGGGUUUAUAGGUACGGGUCGAACAUCCUCUGUAGUGUCUAGAUUCCGUGAGCCUCCCCAAUAGAACAGUAGAUCAUCCUUACCAAGGUUAGAAUGAGACUACGGUUGUAGUCUUCUCUAUACAUCGCUCACAUCGAAUCACAUUCUUUGUAGCCUAAAGGGAAGUAGCAAUAGAAUUGGUUAGUCAGAUGCACGCUUUCUCCCAGUGUUAAAAAUAUAAAUACGAUACUCUGGAUAACCUCCCGGGUGAAAUGCUCACCGAUAUCCGUGCGCUUGCGGAUCAUUUCCUGAUGGCGUUACCAAAUAUCAACAAGCAUUUCUGGCACCGUUGACGGGGAGAGAGACGGUUUGCUGACAUAACUUUAAGUCUUGCUAUUAUCUUGUAUUAUACUUUUAUACUUUUAUUCUUUUAUCUUUUUAUUUUUCCCAUCUUUAUGGAUAACUCAAAUUCCAUACCUAUUAUUGAAUUCUUUGCACCUUCAUAGACCAACUAUAGACUAUGGGAGUCAACAAGUCCUUUCUUUGCCCCUAAUUAUGAUCUGUGUCCGGAGUUGAUUGCAAUAGGUCAAAAUUAACCCUUUUCUACAGCUGAGGUCCUAUCUUUUAAUCAAGAAGAUAAUGAACUUUUAGCUACACUUAGGGAAACCUUUAAUUUUUCUAUAAAUUCUGGUUUACACCUAGCCCUACAAGACCAUAUUUUUUCUCGAUAUUUUCAUAUUGGUCUUAAUCAUAUAACCUUUGGUAGAGUAUUUAUUUCUUUAUCUAUUAGUAAAGGAAGGUAUGUCUUCAUUCGUGGACAAUCUUCUUGCACUAGUCUUCAUAAAAAAAUCCUAGAGAUAGAGAAGGAAUCAUCUCCUAGACGAGGAAAGGAAGUUUCAAUAGCCAAUUUCCAAACAUUUCAAUCCCAUAAUUCGGCUAUCAACCCAUCCUUGAGCUUAAUAAUUUAUACUAUGCUCUUUCUCUUGAACCUCCCGAUAAUCCUAUGAAUCUCUCUAGACAUCCCAUGCAUAAGAGUCACCAAGACCACAAGGAGGAUCGAGAAGAGCAGCAUCAAUGGCUAAAGGGCAUUAAAAAUCCAUGUGCUAUCACCAUUGAAUGGAUGGAUAAAACAAACUUGAGAGACAAUCCUAGAGGAAUUUUAAGCAUUCAUGAAGAAUCAUCCUUGGAGUUUGAGAAUGAAAGAAACAAUAAUGAGCAUGAAAUUUAUUUCAUAGCCACUUCGUUUAAUCCAUGCUCAUAUGCAACAUCUUCCCAAUCUAUUGGUCUCUCCAACAUCACCACAUUUGAGAUCUCCAACCCCCCUUCCUUUCUAUUUAUAAAAACUUUAAAAGGAUGGUUGUCGAUGCAUAUGUAUAUAGUAAAUAUUGCAGAUCUCGUUGAGUUGAUCUUGAUAUAGGUCAGCGUGGAGGGGAAACCACUUCGCCGACAUAAUUUGAUGGUUUCCCAAGGACAAGUUUAGUGUCCUAAAACAAGCACUUAUCACAUCGUAACAUGAGCUGUUAAUUAUUUGCAACAUUACCUUGUGUAUUGAGCAUAUAAAGAUAAUUGUAGAAAUAUUCCUUCGGGUAUUCUUGUCACCAACCUUUCCAGGAUUAGAGCAAGAAUGUGGGGGUAUAAACCCCUAUACCCUUACGGCCAGACUUGGGACAGGAGGCUUGGCCCAUUACGAUACAAGUUCGAGGCUUGAUCCGAUAGCCCGGAGUUUCGUGCAAGGAAACAAGGCGUGGAGAUCAAGCAGGAUUCUAGUCGGUUAGAAUAGAAAUUGAUAUCGAACUAUCUAUGGCAAUUGUAACCGACUAGGAUUGAUUUUCAGAUCUGUAACCCUGCCCUCCGGACUAUAUAAGGAGAGGCAAGGGACCCCCCUAGGACAUCAAUAUUCUCUCAACACAAAUCAAUACAAUCAGACGCAGGACGUAGGUAUUACGCCAACUCGGCGGCCGAACCUGGAUAAAAAGCUUGUCCGUGUCUUGCGUCACCAUCGAGUUCGUAGUUUGCGCACCGUCUACCGAUAAACUACUACCAUGGGUAUCCCCCAAGGUAGACUGCCGACCAGCUUUCGUCGACAGUGGCGCGCCACGUAGGGGGUGUGCGCACAACUUCUCCGGCGAACAAGAUGGUCAUCGUUCCAGCUUCCGCGGCCAUGCCUGAAGGCCUCACGUUCACCGUCGGCCAGAUCACGUGGACGACGCACGGCGACGGUCUCACGACCACGGUUUUGGAAGGAACCCAGAUCCAAUCUGGGACGUCGGUGGCAUCGGCUCCGACCACACGGAUGCUGGCGCAAGCACCCGACCACCGCUCCCGCGCUACCAGGGAAGGAAGAUCGACGGCUCGGAUCUUCUCUGAGCACUUGAUCGCGCUGAUUCCAAGCUACUCGAAGCUUCCCAACUAGUGGACGGGAUCUCGCGUCAACCUGAGCAAGCCGCACCAACGGGUUUUUCCAACUCCUACCGGCCAACUCGUGUCGUCACACACGAACAGCUGGGAACUUCUCUGGCGAUAACCUCCACCCCCUCGGGACGGUCCGUCAAGAUCAAGGCUGAUCCGGAGGAAGGUUAUCCUUGCGGUUCGAACAACUCGGCCUCUCUCUACUCACGGCACGUCCAAUCCCUUUUUGACAAGGCCGGUUGGCUGCCAAAGUGGAGCGAUCUACCAGCUCGUCACUACGUCAACAUGGUGACGAUCCGAGAACUACGGGACGACCAAACUUCCGGUACAAAUUCAAGCACUGGUUCCGUUCCCACUGAAGUCAUAAACUCCGAGGAUGAGGACUAUGACCUGGAUCUGCCACCAUAUCCUCCGGGUUUCUUUCGUUUCCCGAUCUUCCCACCCCGGCGAGGAGACAUCGUUUUCAACGUCAGCGCCGACGAGCCGGUUGUUGAUGGAGAAACAGACGAGCAGAGGCAGCUCCGCGAGCAGCACAAUGCCGACCGCGCCCGACGACGCGCGAACGAGGAACGCCAACUACCGCCGCAUAAUCUCACCGACGCUUUCGACAUGGUCGGGGAUCAGCCAGUCUACAAAACGCCAAGCGCCAAUGUGGCCGUCGCAUGGCCAAUUUAGAUCGACUCCCUGACACUCCCGAAUGCCAGGGCGUCUGAUCCAGCGUCCGAGCACAUCUGAUCGCUGCAAUGGGACAGACAGCCACUCUGCUCAAAAGAGUCCAAGCUAUCUCCUAUAUAGAGGUCUCCUCCGACCAGACCCAUCGCAGCCGGACCUCACCACAGCCCAGCAGGCACAACCACAGCCGUUCCCCCAACAAUCAUUGAAGAGAUUCACGGCGUGACGACUGCGGUCGGGACGCUGGCGGUCACCGCGAGCAGAAUCGCGGGCGUGGUCAAGAAGUAAACCAACACAGGGAUCUUCGAUACAACAUCCCUCCCAAGGACGCCCGGGACCUCAUCAACAGGCGCGCCACAGAAAGGGCAGUUCACGAGAACCUGCGUCGUAUUGAGUAUGAUGCAACGCACGGUCCCCCGUGUAACACCCUAGGUGUUAAACAUGCACUUAGCCUUAUCAAAGCAAUGCAUAAGCAUUCUCAUCAAGCAUAGCAUCAUGAGCAUGUCAUUCAUCCCAAAACAUGAUUUUAUGUGCUUUAUUUCAUGUGUUUUAAUUAUGCUAAAAGUAUGAUGCUUGCUUCUAAAAAUGUGAAAUAUUCAAACUAGGUUGAUUUAUAUGUAAGAAGAAUUAAGAAUAUUUUUGUGUAAUUUUUGGAGCUAUAGAAUUUGAGAAAUGGAAUUUAUACAAAAAUCCCCAAAUUGAAUUUAUUUAAAAACCUAGAACUAGUUUUAAUUUAUAAUUCAAAUUCUAUUUGGAAUUUGGUCUUGCUUAUUUAAAUAAAGUUGUAGGGUUUUUGUUUUGGAACAACUUUGCUUUUGGAAGCAAGAGGUGAAAAUGAAUAUAAAUUGGUCCAAAAGAAUUUAGAAAAGAAUUUGAGAAAAUAAAUUCAAAAAAAAAAUAGAAAAGGGGCAGGCGCUGCUGGGCCAACCCCGCCUCCCUUUCGGCCUAGCGAGCGGCCCGGCCUGCCUCCCCCUCCCCCUCUCUCCCGCGCGCGGACGCCCGCCUCGUCCCAGCCAGCGGCGGCCACGUGGCGGCCGUACGCCGGCGAUGGGCGCGCCGCGGCCGACCGGCUUCACCUGGUCGGGACGCCGGCCCGGGCUCCCAGGCCGUCCCAUUCGCUUUGUCGCCCGCGCCCUUCUCCUUCCUCCCUCCGCUCACGAGCGCAACCGAGCUGUAGAACUCCGCCGCAGCGCCAUCGCUAGAGCGGCUCCGCUGCUCACCGCCGGCCACUCCAGUGAUCAAACCUCGACACCGAAACCACCAGCGCCUUCGCCAUCGUUAGGGUAAGCUUAUGCGAGCGUUCUACCGAGGUGAGAGUCCGUCGAGCGCCGUGAAUCGCUCGCCGGAGUUACCCCGAGCUCGCCGGAGUACUCCGCCGCGACGGAUCUUGCGUUUCCCUACCUCUUUUCGCUGGUUCUUGGUUGCGUUAGGUCGGUAGGUGGUGAGGAAGCUCGGAGAGCCGUUUGCGCGCGCUCUACCAUGCCAGAGCGGCCUGGCCACGGCGAGCAGCGCCGCCGUGCCGCCAUGCACGCUCGUCGGAGGUGCUCCGGCCAUCCUCCGGUAAAUCCGAGGGUACCGCUGGGUGCGCCUCGCGGCGGGGAGCACGAUGGUGCUCACCCCGUGGCCGGGGACCUCACCGCCGGCGAGAUCUGCUCGUCGGAGGUGUGCUCCCUCUGACCAGUGGGGUCAGAGGCCCACUGUCAGUCGCAGGGGGGACCCCGGUGGGUGUAGAUCCGGGUGUGUUUAGCCUUUUGCGUCGGUUUUCAUGAAUAAAUGUUUUCCAGAAAUUGAUUCAAAACUUGUAAAAUUCAUAUCUUGAGUUCUACAACUCCAAAUUUGAUGAAAUAAAUUUUGGUGUGCUUUAUAUUUCUAGAUCUACAGUUUGAUGUAAUUGCAUCUCAUGUUUGAGUAACUUUUCUGUAUGAAAAAUAUUUAAUCCAUGUUUUUGCUAAACUUGGAAAAUGCAUAGUAAUUAAAAUAUGGUUCAGAAAAAUGUGAAACUUGAUUUGUUGACUCUGCAUGUAUGUUUACUCACUGGGAAAAUAUUGCUACACAUUAUUUGCUGUAUAAAUGAAUUUAUGGUAAUUUAAAUGCUUGCAUGGCAGUGGUUUAUUAUUUUUAAUAAUUAUUUGGAUCAUGCAAUUAAUCUGGAAAUUUUUGUGGGUGUUUCUUAUGAUAUUAGACAAAUUGUAAAAAUAUGAAAUCUGCGGUUUGACACUUAUACCACAGUAGAGUAAUUGUACUUGUCCUUGUUAAUUAAUCUUGUGAUUUUUGUAGCUCAAAAUAAGUAUCCAAAAAUUAUGAAAAAUUUACAGUAGACUUUAUGCUUGGCUGGUGGUCUCCUGUAAUUUUUGUGGAAUUUAUUGAUGAACAAAACUGCAUGUAAAUUUUAAUGGGCCUAGAAAUCAAUAAAGAAAAUUAUGAAUUGUUAUAUAUAGGUUGAGUAAAAUAAGAAGGGGUUUGGUGUAUCUUUGAAGCAUCAUGUGGGUUGCUGGUUGCACUUGAAAAACAAUUUGUAGAAGAGAAUGCAAUAGAUGUUUGAUUCAAUUGUCUGUUCUUGGAUGAUGUUGACUACCUUGUAAAGAACAUGACCAAUUAAAUCGCCUACGCAUCAUGCCAUGAUCUUUUGGUACCUUCUCAUACAAGCAUCCACUCGGGCAUCUCGCACUCCACUCAUGAGCACACAUGCAUCAUACAGGCUCGCAGGAGAACAAGGUGGGACCCGAGGAGCCAGAGGAGAUUCAGGAGCAGGAACCUCCGGAACCCCAGGAGUCCGGAGAGGAACUACAGGAGUGUCCAGAUCACCGACCCAGCACGUUUGAGAAAGGCAAGCCCCGGAGCAUUCUAAGUCUCCCUAUUCUCGCUAACUAACUUACAGGAUAUACUAUGCUUGUUCUACUAUAUUGCAUUUAAGUAAUAGGAGUUGGUUGAUACCGUUGAUGCAUUGGUACUCCUUGAUAUCACCCCUCGUUUAUCUACCUUGUCCUAUGUAGAUAGGUGUGAAGUCUAUGCUUAGCUUGCUUAGUCCCGGUAGAAGUCGGGUGAUUUCCUGUCACCUGCGAGAUAUAGGUGGAUACCUACUUAGUUCAGCAGUAAUUGCUUUGGGAAAAGAAUAACCAAGUGGGAAUGGAAUUCGGAGACCGGGCAGGGUCUUAUGGUGGGUUGACUAUAGUUCCCCUGCCUGUGUCGAUUAAGGACCGAUCGUUGACGGCCCUCUUGUCAUGUUGAACGCAUGCCCCACACUUAGCUGGAAGGAUAAGUCGUUCCAACCGCGAAGCCUGAACACUAUCCGGGCCGGGAAUCGAGCCGCCAUGCGCUGUAUUGGUGAUGGUUGAGGAGAACGACGAGGGCGCGGCGCGCAACCUUGGUAUACCUUGGAUACCUCGGUCGCCGGAACGGUCCUCGGGUACUGGCGGUGCCUGCCGAACCUGCGAAUUGGUCCUGGAUAGUGUAAUACGGUGAUAUGUAGCUCACUUGAUCAGUGAGUGUGGUUUGUGUGGGGAAUACCUCGCCAGCUGGUUAGAAAUCGAUUUGAAUCGCCAUCGCUCCUAGAUAGUGAGCACUUGACAUGAGCCCUGUCCUCGUAGUAAGGACUAUGGAACACUUGGGUUAUAAUGAUGAAUGGUUUUAAGAAAUGCUAUGAUGAGGUACUAUCAUAUCACUAUACUUGUUUGUGAUAGUACAGGUGCAAACCUAGAUAAUAGGUAAUGAUACUUUCAACUUGAGCACAUUAAAAGAAGAAAGAUUUGUGUAGGUUAUAAUAAUAGAAUCCUGCGGUUUUGCAAAAUGGUCGUCAGCUACCCCACUAUAUAGCCUUCAUGAUCCUUGAUGAGUCUUUAUUUUAAGUUUAUGACGGGUAAGUCUAGCUGAGUACCUUCUCGUACUCAGGGUUCUACUCCCAUGUUGUUUUGCAGAUGGUCAAAUGUACUAUGGUUAUUGCAUCCUCUGUCUGUACCCAGCCAUGGGUGAUGACUAGACCAAGGGCGAUGGUCACUCCGUCUUCUCUUUUGCUUUUGUGGGAAUGACCGAACUAUGGCACUGUAUCAGACUAAGUGUGUGUUGUAUUUUCGAACUAUGAAGCUUCCGCUACUUGAGGAACUUGGUUUGUAAUAACUUUAAGUACUCCGAUGUAUUUCAUGAAUGUUGUAAUCUGGAUCUAUUGUGGAUGGCAACCGCUAAACUUAUUACGUUCUUGGCUGUUGUACGAUGUGUGGUUUGAAAUCCUUCGAGAUUUCACGGACUACCGGGAUUAUAUGGGCUUAAGCCUGAUGGUUUGACUAUGCAAAUGGUCACUUUUAGGCUUAAUCUCUUAUAAUUUGGUCGGUUCUGUUACAGCUGGCAUCGGAGCAAGGUUUAGCGAGUUACUGUUCAUAAGUACGUUCUAAACAAAAAUCGAAGCCGGUUUAAUGAAAUAUUUUAUUAAUUAAUCAAUAAUGAUCAAGGUGUUAAUCCAAGUUUUGGGAAAAACUAUCUAGUGUGCCAUGGUCAUAUCCUUUAUGCCCAGUUAAGGACUCUAAGGUGGCUAGUUAAGUACUGACUUGGGGGUUAAUGCAUCAUAUUUUUAUUUCGUCGCUCAUACGGCGUGCAGUAGUAUGAGUGCCAUUCAUUUGAGUGGUAAUGUAUGGAUCAAUUUUUCCUCUACGCCACGGUAAGUGGGAGCUGUGAGAGCAUGAUCGGAUACACGGUCGGUCUAGGGAAGUGUUGUUAGGUACUGUGUCAUGCACACAUGUUUUGGUGUGUCUUGGGAACAGUACCACAUGUUGGGAACUCCGUCCUGAGAGGCGAUGCCGUCAUUAAGGCGAUGAUGUGGGUAGCAACACGAAAUAUGCAUGGACGGGUGUCUGUGUAUGUGGAGUGUAUAGUUUUAGGUUUUGUUCUGCAUUAGCAUGCUGUGGGUGGGCUGAAAUGAGUUUUCUGCAGGUACACUAACCACGUUCUCGCUUAGAACGCUAGUUACGUUAUGAGAGAACGUUGUGGGCCACCGCAUAUACUGCUUAGUGUUAACCUUUGUUUCUAAGUUUGUGAGAUCGUAAGUUCGUACAUGCAUCAUGGUCAUUUCAUCUCAUUGCUCACUUUCCCCCUUAAUUUAAUCUGUCCCAAUUUUAAAUAAAAUAAUUAAAGGUAAUCCUCGCUCUUACCCAAGGUAUUCCAUUUGCAGCAGAUGGCACGCACUAGGCUCACCGCUCGCAAGUCCACUGGUGGGCGGGCCCCUCGCCAUCCAUUGGCAGCCAGGAGCUCACGACAUAAGAGCAAGUUCCUGGAGGAGUUUGGGAUGCCCACUUUGCUUUGGAGAGUGCUUAGCUCGAUGGGGUAACCUAAAGGAAGGGAGCCUCGCUACUAUUGGGAUAAGGAGCCGCUUGGUGACGGUACACUGGUAGGGAUUGAGGCAGUUGUCCCUACCAGUGGAGGAGACCCCGCUUGGGGCGGCUGGGUGUAUGAGUCCCGAGGUAUCACGCCUUUCCACGGUGCCAGCAGGGCAGCUUUCGCAGUUCUGAGGGACCUCAUGGAGAGGUUUCCACAGGAGCUGGCCCACGCCUUCGCUAGGGUGUUUCCCCGAGGUGACCCCUACACUUCGGUGUGGGAUCAGUCCGAGGUGAACGCUCUAGAGAGGAGUGCGGAUGAGGCCCAGCACAGUGACAGUGCAGCUAUGAGUGCUAUGUAUGCGUUGAUGAAGACCUAUGGAGGCCUAGAGCGUUGUUUGGGUCGCUUAUCUGGGUCUCUUCUCACCGUCCAGGAUGAGAAGCGUCAGUUGCAGCGUGAGUUCGACUCUAAGGUUGAGAGGCUACAGGCAGAGUUGGCCCGUGUGACCAGAGAGAGAGAUCAGGCAGUCCAGAAGAACAGUGAGCUGAGUCAGGACCUGCUUGCAGUGGUGAGCAGAGGGAUAGGGUGACUACUGCUCACAGGAACUGCGAGCGCAUGCUAGUCCAUGUGCUUGGACAGAGGAAUGAAGCCUGGCACGAGGAGGACACUUUGAGGGCCCGACAGCUAGAGCUAGAGCAGCAGCUAGCUAAUGCUGAGGAGUACAAUGAGAACUUGCAUGAGGAGAUCCACCAGCUGCAUAACCAGCUCCACCCUCACCACCUGCCUGGAGCAGCUGAGCUAGACUCUGAGGAUGAGAUGGACACGGAUCCCGCGAUAGGAGCAGCUGCUAGUGGAGAUGAGGAUGAGGAGGGCUCCGGCAUGGACAGUGAUCAUAGCGAGUAGAUGCUAGGGCUCUAGGGCUAGUCCUUCUUCUUUUGCAUUGUAUGUUGCAUGGCAUAUCUUGUACCUUUGGAUCUGGGUUAUGUAAAACUCUAUGAGUUAAUGCUAAAAGUCCAGUGUAUGUAUGCUGGCAAGUUGGAUGCAUGCGAACCUCGUUGCUUGAAUGAUAAGUAAUCUGUUAGUGAUGUUGUGCGUGGACGAUGAGUUGUUGUGCCUCUGUUUAUUGUGCGAAUUUAUUCCCUCAGUAAAUUUAGUACGGCAUGAUUCUACACAUUUCUACCAUUGAUGGCAACUCCUAAUGAUUUCUUAUCAUUGACGUAUGCAGAUGGUGCAAACACGUGGCGGGGGUAACAACAACCCGGGCCUUGGAGCAGGUACGUCUGGAGGUGGAGCUCAACGGAAUGAGGACAGAGCACCAACACCGCCACCACCACCGCCUCCUCCAUACACUGCGGACGUGUUUUUCGCACAGUUUCUGGGAAGCCAACGCAACAUGGAACAGAUGCAGCGCAACAUGGAAGAGGCUCUGCGCAACAUAGCUGACAACACCCGUCGUGGGGAUAACCAGGGCGGCCGUGAAGUCAAUCAGUACAGUUCGUUCAAGGACUUCAUGGAUACCAAGCCACCAAUCUUCAAAGAGGCUUUGGAACCGCUCGUUACGCAGAUGAGUGGAUCAACACCAUGUAGCAGAAGUUUUGUCUUCUUCGGAUGACCGAGGAACUCAAGGCUGAGUAUGCAGCACAUCAGUUGCAAGGACCCGCUGGAAUUUGGUGGUCCCAUCACCGUACACCUACCCAGAGGCACCCCAAUCACCUGGAACCGCUUCACCACCACUUUCUGGGGAAAUUACAUUCCUCCGGGUGUGGUUGAAAUGAAGGUUGGGGAGUUCAUGAGGCUGUCCAAGGGGACGAAAUCUGUAAAGGAGUAUCUACACGCUUUCAAUAAUCUCGCUCGUUACGCCCCCGAGUUUGUGAACACGGAGGCCAAGAAAAUUGCUAGUUUCCAGAGAGGCUUGAGUCCAAAGAUGCUGAAGACCAUGGGUACAGGAGCCAGGGCUACCUUCAAUGCUUACAUCAGUGACUGUCUGACCCAGGAGAACAACAACAACAACUACAGUGCGUCCAAGUCACGUAAGAGGGCUUUUGAAGCCGGAUCAUCCCAGUCCAGGGCACCCGUGACAGGGCGACAGCAGUAUCGUCCUCCUGCCCCAGGUGCUAGGUUCCGACCACCGCAGAGAAGGAACACCGGGCAUCCAACACAGCAGAAGCCGUACAAGGUGGCGAUAGCCCCUGUCAAGCCAAAGGCAAUUCAAGCUGCAGCACCUGCCGCCAACAAUGUGCCCAAGGGUCCGUGCUAUAACUGCCACAAGAUGGGGCACUUUGCUAAGGAAUGUCCCUACCCCAAGAGGCAGCAGCCAACCUAUCCAGCUCGUGUGCACCAUACCUCGAUUGAGGAAAUCCCGGAAGGAGAACCGGUAACAGCUGGUAUGUUUCCUGUCAACCAACAUCUUGCAGUUGUUUUGUUUGAUUCUGGAUCAUCGCAUUCAUUCAUGAGUCAAGCAUUUGCACAAAAGCAUAGGCAACGAGUUACAGAUCUGGGUUAUGGCUACCGCAUCAGCUCAGCAGGGGCAGAUGUGUUGACCAAUAGAGUGGUUCGAGGGGCAACCCUGGAUAUAAGUGGCCGAGUAUUUCGAGUGAAUCUAGUGGUCAUGCCUGGGUUAGUUUUGGAUGUUAUCAUGGGCAUGAACUGGAUGAGAGAAUGGGAUGCCGUCAUAGAUACUGGGAAGAGAAUGUUAUCUCUCAGAGAACCGCAGGGCAAUAGCUCUUUUCAAGUACCUCUGCCCCGUCGUCUUGACUUUGCUAGCAUCUCUUGUGCUACGCACGUGGUUCCAUUACCACAGAUCCCAGUAGUCUGUGAGUUCCCUGAUGUUUUUCCUGAGGAAUUACCAGGACUUCCCCCGGAUAGGGAAGUAGAGUUUGCAAUCGAGUUGAUACCAGGUACAGCACCAAUAUCGAGAAGGCCGUACCGGAUGCCACCAAACGAACUCGCUGAGUUGAAGAAUCAACUAAAGGAGUUGUUGGAUAAAGGAUUCAUCCGGCCAAGCUCGUCGGAAUGGGGUUGUCUGGCAUUGUUCGUGAAAAAGAAGGAUCAAUCAUUGCGCAUGUGCGUGGACUAUCGUCCACUCAAUGCAGUGACAAUCAAGAAUAAGUAUCCCUUGCCAAGGAUCGAUAUCUUAUUUGAUCAGCUGUCCAAGGCAAAAGUCUUUUCCAAGAUAGACUUGAGGUCUGGGUAUCACCAAAUCAAGAUUCGUCCGCAAGAUAUCCCGAAGACUGCUUUUUCUACCAGAUAUGGGUUGUAUGAGUAUCUUGUCAUGUCCUUUGGGUUGACAAAUGCUCCUGCAUACUUUAUGUAUCUGAUGAAUUCAGUCUUUAUGCCAGAAUUGGAUAAGUUUGUUGUGGUGUUUAUCGAUGAUAUCCUGGUUUAUUCAGAAAAUGAGCAAGACCACGCCGAGCAUUUGAGAAUCGUGUUAACACACUUACGAGAGCAUCAGUUAUAUGCCAAGUCCAGCAAGUGUGAGUUCUGGUUGAAGAAAGUUUCUUUCCUAGGGCACAUUCUGUCUGAAGAAGGGAUUGCUGUGGACCCGUCAAAGGUGCAGGAGGUCAUGAACUGGAAGGCACCAACUUCUGUCUCGGAAGUUAGAAGUUUUCUUGGUCUAGCCGGGUAUUAUCGUUGAUUCAUACCUGACUUCUCCAAGAUUGCUAAGCCAAUGAAGAGUUUGCUGCAAAAGGAUCAUAAGUUUGUCUGGACGGAAGGGUGUGAGUUAGCCUUCCGCACCUUGCGAAAGUUGCUAACCACUGCUCCCGUUCUGGCACAACCCAAUAUAGAGAAGCCUUUUGAUGUGUUUUGUGACGCAUUAAAAAGUGGCCUGGGGUGUGUGUUGAUGCAAGAUGGCAGGGUAAUAGCUUAUGCUUCCCGACAGUUGAGAAAGCACGAAGUCAACUACCCAACUCACGACCUCGAGUUAGCAGCAGUAGUGCACGCUUUGAAGAUUUGGAGACACUAUCUGCUGGGGAAUAAGUGUCACAUUUAUACCGAUCAUAAGAGUUUGAAAUACAUCUUCACUCAAUCCAAGCUGAAUAUGAGGCAAUGACGGUGGUUAGAGUUAAUCAUGGACUAUGAUCUGGAAGUUCACUAUCAUCCAGGCAAGGCAAAUGUAGUAGCAGAUGCAUUGAGUCGUAAACCGCACUAUCAAGUGGUUCAACCGUUGUUUGAAGAUGGGUUCAAUCUUAUGCAUCCUGAGGUCUUAUGUCACAUACAACUCAGUUGUUCACUCGAAAGUCAAGUCAUCGAAGGUUAGAAGACAAACAAGGGUAUUUUCCACAUCAAGGAGAAGAUCAAAAAUGACCCAAAGACUCAAUUUCGAGUUGAUGAAAAAGGGGUACUGUGGUUUCAACAUCGGUUAGUAGUUCCGAAGGAUCGUGAAUUGAAGAAUCGCAUCAUGGAUGAAGCCCAUCUCUCUAAGCUUUCUAUUCAUCCUGGCAGUAGUAAAAUGUACCAAGACUUGAGACCCCACUUUUGGUGGACCAAGAUGAAGAAAGAAAUAGCCGCAUAUGUAGCCCGUUGUGACACGUGUUGCAGAGUUAAGGCCAUCCAUAUGAAGCCUGCAGGUCUGUUGCAACCGUUAUCAGUUCCAGAGUGGAAAUGGGAAGAGGUCAGUAUGGACUUUAUCACGGGUUUACCAACGACAAGGAAGGGGAAUGACUCGAUUUGGGUAAUCAUAGAUCGAUUGACCAAAUCGGCCCAUUUCAUUCCUGUGAAGACUCGUUACCGACCUCCUGAGUAUGCCGAUAUAUAUGGCUGAGAUUGUCAAGUUGCAUGGUAUUCCCAAGACCAUCAUAUCGGAUCGGGGACCGCAGUUCACCGCUCACUUCUGGGAGCGCAUGCAUAAGAGUUUGGGGACCAGUCUGAUAAGAAGCACGGUGUAUCAUCCCCAGACUUCAGGCCAAACUGAAAGGCUAAAUCAAGUGUUAGAGGAUAUGCUGAGGGCCUGUGUGCUAUCAUCCAAGGGAUCAUGGGAAUCAUGGUUACCUCUGGCUGAAUUCUCAUACAAUAAUAGUUAUCAAGAGAGCAUCAAGAUGGCCCCGUUUGAAGCUUUGUAUGGACGAAGAUGUAGAACUCCGUUAAACUGGGUUGAACCAGGUGAAAGAAGAUACUAUGGUAUCGACUUUGUGAAUGAAGCUGAGAAAAAGGUGCAAAUCAUACAACAACAUAUGCAAGCGGCACAAUCCCGACAAAAGAGUUAUGCUGACAAGAGAAGAAGGCCACUUGAAUUCAACGUAGGUGACUAUGUGUACCUCAAAGUCAACGCCAAUGAAGCAAGCUUGCACCCAGAUAUGUGGGACCGUAUCAAGUACUAGAGAGGAAAGGCCCAGUGGCCUACAAGAUUCAGUUACCUGAAGAGUUGAGCUCGAUCUUUCCGGUCUUCCAUGUGUCACAACUGCGGAAAUGUUUGAAAGUGCCUGAGCAAAGGAUUGAACCUAGGGGGAUCAAAAUAAAAGCAGACUUAGAGUAUAAAGAGCAGCCAGUGGGAAUUGUGGAUACCAAGGAACGAGUAACCCGAAACAGAAUUGUCAAACAUACAAAGUAGUGUGGAGUCAUCAUGACGAUCGGGAUGCCACCGGGGAAACAGAGGAUUACUUAAAAACAGUUUAUCCAAAAUUUCAUAAGAAAUGGUUAGUAACCCAAAAUCUCGAGACGAGAUUUCCCUAAGGGGGGAAGGGCUGUAACACCCUAGGUGUUAAGCAUGCACUUAGCCUUAUCAAAGCAAUGCAUAAGCAUUCUCAUCAAGCAUAGCAUCAUGAGCAUGUCAUUCAUCCCAAAACAUGAUUUUAUGUGCUUUAUUUCAUGUGUUUUAAUUAUGCUAAAAGUAUGAUGCUUGCUUCUAAAAAUGUGAAAUAUUCAAACUAGGUUGAUUUAUGUGUAAGAAGAAUUAAGAAUAUUUUUGUGUAAUUUUUCGAGCUAGAGAAUUUGAGAAAUGGAAUUUAUACAAAAAUCCCCAAAUUGAAUUUAUUUGAAAACCUAGAACUAGUUUUAAUUUGUAAUUCAAAUUCUAUUGGGAAUUUGGUCUUGCUUAUUUAAACAAAGUUGUAGGGUUUUUGUUUUGGAACAACUUUGCUUUUGGAAGCAAGAGGUGAAAAUGAUUUUAAUUGGUCCAAAAGAAUUUAGAAAAGAAUGUGAGAAAAGAAAUUCAAAAAAAAAUAGAAAAGGGGCAGGCGCUGCUGGGCCAAACCCGCCUCCCUUUCGGCCCAGCAAGCGGCCCGGCCUGCCUCCCCCUCCCCCUCACUCCCACGCGCGGACGCCCGCCUCGUCCCAGCCAGCGGCGGCCACGUGGCGGCCGUACGCCGGCGAUGGGCGCGCCGCGGCCGACCGGCUUCACCUGGUCGGGACGCCGGCCCGGGCUCCCAGGCCGUCCCAUUCGCUUUGUCACCCGCUGUCGCACCCGGUUUUCCAAAGAAGACCAAGCGCUAACUAUAUGUGUGCCCAGGAUGUCCACACGACACAUAUAGUGACAAAUAUGGAGAAUAUCAGGAACAACACUUUAUUAUAUAUCGGAACAUAGUUACAACAUGGCUUACAUCUAUUACAAAGCAUAGCGGAAACUAUUCUAUAUCUUCUCUUUGGGUCUCCAUACUCCACAGGGACGGUUGACUGGGGGUACACUCGCCUAGUACUCCUGGAACAUUUCAGGGAACUCCGCCUUUGUAUCACCAUCUGGUACCCAUCUGGGAUUUUUGAUUGUUGAAUGUAAAGCAAGUGUGAGCGCACCAUACUCAACAAGUAUAACAUGAGGGGAUGCAAGGCUCAAAAGGCUUGACUUGGUUUGACUGCGAUAAGCAUUUUUAGUUGGUCAUAUUUUAUUAUUAGACCUAUGUUGCUAAGUUAUGCUUAAGCUCCCAAGGUGACAAGUAUAAUUAUCAUCAAAAUUAAUCAUCAACCCAAACCAUCCAUUGAACCAUCUAUCUCGAAAAGGAUCCAGGCCGCUCGUGACCGAGAGCACGGCUGAUAUAUCAGUUUUUCUAACUCUGCAGAGUAUGUACAUCUUUACCCAUGAGUCGUGAUUGCCCUUUGCUCGAGGGAGCCAACCUCUUGACUCACUUCCAAGGUAAGUCGGCAGGGAUCACUACGUAACCUUUCACUAGACACCCUAACUAGUUAGUGGCCGCGAGGUUUCAGUGGCAAGUGUGCAUAGAGACCUCCUCCUAGAGGCACAUGUGGUCGCGACACUGUACACACCAAGGUAGGAGCAAAACUAUACACCACGAGGCACCCCCCUCUUGCGCCUUUCGGUAACCACUAACAAGCUAGAGACGUACUAGAUACUUGAUUAAGAUCAGAGCCAUGUGAUUCUCAUGGUUGUACUGUAAGUCCUGGGUUGCCACUUUAAGAUUCAGUCCUUACGGAGGGCGGACUAGAGCACCCAAAAAGGCCCAAUGCUCUAGCCCCCUUAUAUCCAUGUUGCUAGAAAGCAUCAUUAUAUAUUGAUUCCAUAAUCCAUUAGUCAAGAUUAACUUUAUAUAGUUGGUUGAUUGCAAGCUAAGCCAACUCACCAUAUGCAUAACCCAAAGGUAACAAGGAAUACAAGUUAACAAAGGUUCUAGGUAUAGUCCUUAUAGGUUCAUCAUUUUAGACACAUGCAUAUGAAAAGGUGAUUAAAUGGUUAUUGGGUAACAAGGGAACUCAUGUUACACUUGCCUUCCAAAACACUUGCCGAUGGUUCCACUUCUCAAAGAUAUACUCCUCAUGUAGCUCCACUUCUAACGUCAGCAAACAAUCGAUACAAGCAUCACAAGAGAACCUAAAAACAAUACACCAAGCAUUACAAAAUAAGACUUAAAGGUUUUAAACAUGUAGGGCUUGUAACUACGAUCGUUGAGCGCAAAAACAACUAAACGGAGCUAUGGUUUAGAAGACAUGAAAGUUCAAAGGUAGAAGUUGGAAGGUUCAAUAAAUGAUAGGAAUGGAAUAAACAUGAUGUAUGUGGGCUAACUUGAAAGAUUUAGAGAGCAUAAGGAUUUAUAGAUGAAUAGUAAAUGAUCAGAGGAUUGUAUACAAGAUAGACUAGAGAUUAUGAAGAAUGAAGUAAGCAUAUGAAGAUUUAAGGGCUUGAUCACUUGUGCUGGCUAUGCAAGCUGGAUGAGAGAAAACAUAUACAUGGCAAUGGCUACACAGUAGUGAGAUGAUAUGGUGAGAUACUAUCAAGAUUAUUUAUAUGUGGUUCUAGAACACAAUGAGGCAGGACAACUAUGAUGGUUGGAAUGGCUAGAACUUUGCGAGUGCAAUGCGACCAUAGAUUUAAGAUGGAAGCAAGGCUGCACAUAAGGUUUGUGUAUCCUGAUUACUUUAUAUAUAUAUGAUGGAGUGCUGCUGCAUAUGAGAGGUCAUAUGGGAUCAUAUUAUGGUCACUAGUGCACCAAAGCAAGUAGCUAAAUCCACAGGGGAUAUGAUUACAAUGAGCUGCACACCGACUGAGCAUGAAUGUGCGAUGGGAAGUAGUGGUUCUUGCCAACAAAACGCAGGCCUAUGCUAAGCUUCUGGGAUAGAUAUUUGGUGGAUUUGUGUGCAGCAACCAUAGACAUAGUCAUGCAAGAGAGAUCAGUGAUUUGAACAAUGGUUUGGUGGGGAACGUGGUGAGACACCGGUGCACCUAGGAUGUGCAUGGCAGCGGACAACAGGGGUUAUGAUCCUUGAUGACAUGCUCUGGUCAGCACAAAUGAGCAAUCCAUAUUUUGGAGUCAUCGUGGACUGUAUGAGGUAUGUUCUUGUAAAAGGGAAUGGUGGUUUGACCAUCUGUUAAGCGGAGAACACAAACUCAAAAUGGGUGGCAUGACUGAUUUCUAGACAGCAGGAGUAGCAGGUACUAUGGCCUCAACAUCUCAGCCAUUGAGACACCUAUGGCCAAGCCAACCUGUAGAGAUGUGUACAACGAUAAGACACACAUUCUUCAUGAAGGGUUUGAUGAUUUAACUAAUGUAUGAUGGGGAACAACACUAUCAAACAGAGGCGCAAUGCUGCUGAAACAGCAGGGACAGCAAACACCGAAAAGAUGAUGAUAUCUCUUUCAUCUUGAAUUCUAUUGCCAUGGAAUUUCUCAGGGGUGUGUGCAAAGGUAGAAAACACGCUGUGGUUGAAGGACAUGGUCACUGGAGUGAUGGAUCAUUGGGAAUACACAUGCCAACCGGCAGAAACUCUGCUGCGGGACAGCAGCGACAUCAUGCACAAGAACAUUUAUAACUCUUUCAUAUUAAGCUCUAUGGCCAUGAAAAUUUACAGAGACAUGGGCAAAUAUAUGAUACACACAUGGAUUAAAGGAAUUGCAAAACAGAGGUGCAGAUUGCCGGGAACAUGCGUGAUAACCAGCAGCAACACUGCUGUCCAUGAUAGACGACAAUACGUUCUUAGCCAAAACUGCACUACAAAUCUAUCCACUUGAAUCAAGAUGACAAAACUUUGAUAUAGUCGAACAUAUAAGAUAGAGGAAAAUGUUUGGUUCUCACAUUGGGGUUAGGAACAGUUGGAGAUGAACGUGAUGGCAGCGGUCAGUGUCGAUGACAGGUGAAGACAAUGUUGGUGAUCAAUGGAGCAGUGGCAUAUUCGCUUUGGGGGAUCAUCCAUGCCUCUUAAUAGAUCAAAGAGAUGCAUGAGUGGGGGAAUAGGAAACAAAACCAGAGAGUGGACAGAGAGGGACGUCCUCACCAUGUUGUAUAUAGCAGCAACAACAAAAGCGACCAUGGCGUGGCGCUGCUGCAGUGCACGAGACAACAGGGACGGUGCUGCUGUGAUGAUUGCCAGUGCCACACCUCAUGUUCUCCGUCCAUGAAAGGAGAGGCAGCAAGGGAUUGUUUUGGGGACAUCCUGUGGUACAUGAGGAGAUCGAGAGAGAGGUAUGAGGAGCAGGAGAUGGAAGACCCAUUGAAAGAAGGAAGUGAGGGCCGGCUUACUGCAGCAAAGGAGAUCAUCUGCCUUUAUCCAAAAUGGGGCGAGCUCCACAUGACUUGUGCAGAGAAGAAGCAUCAUCUGCUGCCAUAUCCAACUUAUGGCUUCUCUACUCGAGAUGAGGAUUUGCAGCGACAAAAUAGAUUUGCUGCCCUGAGAGGGUUCUGGUGACCAGGAAGGAGAGGGAGGGAGAGGAAGAUGGAGAGGGGAUGGAGUGCUUCUGCUGCUCUGGUGCUUGAGUGAGGAGGCGAGUGGGAGGGGAGAGAAAUUGUCCAUCUGCUGUGUGCGUGUGGGAGGGGGAGGAAAACAUAUUGCUUCUAUUUGUUGCAUGGGAGCAUGCAAUUGAAGAUGAAGUAACGCAAUAGAAAUAAGAGAGCUGAGUCAAUAGAAGAAUUAAUAUGUGACUAUAAUUCUGCAUGAGGAGAAGGGAGAGGCGUCCUUGGCAGAAUGGUAGGAGAAAGAGAAGCAACAUGGCUGUCCUUUAGUCAUGCAUUUGGGAGGUGAUUGAGUAAAAGGGGAAGUUAAGGGAAAAACUAAUUGCUGCUGUUAUUUGAGGGAGAGAGAGCAGGCGCCAUCUGAUGGGUGAGUGCGAAGGAGAGAAAGAGAUAUUAUGGCUGCCAAUUUCUNNNNNNNNNNNNNNNNNNNNNNNNNNNNNNNNNNNNNNNNNNNNNNNNNNNNNNNNNNNNNNNNNNNNNNNNNNNNNNNNNNNNNNNNNNNNNNNNNNNNUCCAUGCCAUUGAAUAGGAAUAAAACUGGUGGAAUGAAAUGAGUGCUUUCAAGAGAGGAUUGAAGGGAGGUGUAGUCAAGGAAAUUCAUGGAGGAGAAAAUAGAUGCUGCUAUUAUUUUGCAUGAGGCAGAGAGGAUUGGGCGGCAGCAGGAGUGCAUGCAGUUCUGCUUUCACGUGAACUAAUGGAGAGGAAACCAAUGUAUUAAGGAUGGUUUGAUUAAAAGAGGUGACCAAGAGAUUAAGGAGGAAAUGAUGGUUACUAUUUUUGCAUUAUGGAAUGGGGAGAAGCCGCCACAGGGAGUAGAGAGUACGACUUGAAGGAGCAGGAUAUAUUGUUUUGUGCAUGCACGCAAUUGAAAAGAAUGAAGGGAGAUAUUACCAUGGGAAUUAUGGGGGAAAGAAAUAGAUGUUUCUUCUAUUUUUGCAUGAGAGAACAAGAGAGAAGGCGCCAUAAUAAGGAGGAGAGCUGGUCAAAUCAGUGAGAAAAUAAAGAUAUUAGUGAGGAGAAAAUAAAGAUUUGUAUGUAAAGAUAGUCAAGCGAUACAUUAUGGCCUGCUGUUAUUUUAUUUGAGGGAGAGAGAGGAGAGGCGUCACUAGAGAAGGGAGGUGAGUAAUCCGGCUGCCAUUGCAUGUCAAUGAGGACUAAAUAUUUGAUGGAGUAAAAGGUGCUAUCAAAAGAUUAAAGAGAGGCAUGCAACUGAUGGUUAUGUGCGAGGAAAGAAUGGAGCAGAUAAAUUAUCUGCAUGUAUGCAUGCCAUUCAAGAAAUGGAGUAAGUCGUAGGAAUAAGAGAGGGAUUAUUAAGGAUAGUGAUGUUGCUAUUUAUUUGUUUUCUUUGCAUGAUGGGAUGGGAGGAGGCGUCAUAUGUUCUGCAUGGAGAGAGAGGAUAAAGAUGCAUGACUAUUUCAUUAGCAUUUCACUUGUGCAAUUAGAGAGGGGUAAAUAAAAAGGGGUUUGUAAAGGGAGUUGAUGGAGGAAUAUUUGCUGCAAUGGCUGCAUGGGAGAAAAGGAAUAUGUGCCUUAAGAAAAGAGAUGAGCUGCUGAUAUAUGUGCAUGAAAUUGAUUAGAAUGGAGUGAAGGAGUAGCCAUUAGAGAGAAUCAAAAAUAGGUGUGACCAAGGAAUUUAGAGAGUAAGCAUUGGAUGCUGUUUUUUUUAGAUGAGGUAGAAGGAGACGCCAUCUAAUUUUGCAUGAGGAGAAGAAGGAAGAAAUAUAAUUAUUGUCUUGUGCAUGCAUAUAUUUAAAGAUGAUGAAGGACCACACAUAAAAGAGUAUAUUAUAGAGGCAAUUCCAAGGAAAUUUAAGAGAGUAUAAAAGAGGUUGGGAAGAUAUUUCUAGCUGCUGCAUAUAUGCGAAUAAAGUGGAAGAGAUAAAUUAUUGGAGUAAAUUAGCACAUAUAAGAGAGGUGUGUCCAUUAAUUAAGAGAGGAAGGAAUAUGUGCAUAUGCUUUUGCAUGAGAAUAAAUAGAGGAGAGUGCUGCCUAGGGAGAGAAUAUAUGGUGGUUGCCACUCAUCUUUAACUUGCACAUAUAAAUAGCCAAAUUGGAAAGGAGUUACAGUACAUGAUCAGAGAUGAGGUGGCACAUGUUUUCACAGGAAGAAGAGGGAGGGCUUGACCAAAGAGUGGGAGAAGGAGCGAAUGUUGUGUGGCUGCUAUUCAUGAUAAAAGGAGAUAGUGGGUCAGCUUAGGCUUAACCCAAUUUUUAUAUAAGUUUGGUUGACAUAAAAAGGAAAGGCAAGAGAGUGUGAAGAUUGACUUGUCCACAAUUGUGAUAGGACCAUGAGGGAGCAAAGAAAUGAUAUGAUUGGUCUUAGAGAUUGGACAAGAUAUUUGGACUGAUGAGAUUUGGAUCACACCUAAAGCGUUUUCAGAAACAUUCAAAAUUCAUUUUUUAAACAUAAACACUAUGCAACUGCAUGAAUGCAACAAACCACUAAGUUGUAUUGGAAAAAUUUUAAAAACUCACAUUUUUCCACUAUCUCAAAUGUUGACAACAUAACUAAAGCUGGAACAUUUUAUAAAAUCAUAAAAUCUUUGGCUUUGUUUUUACUGUUUUCUAAGACACAUCCCAAAGUAGGAAAUUUGGGGUGUGACACCCGUGCCCUUCUCCUUCCUCCCUCCGCUCGCGAGCGCAACCGAGCCGUAGAACUCCGCCGCAGCGCCAUCGCCGGAGCGGCUCCGCUGCUCACCGCCGGCCACUCCAAUGACCAAACCUCGACACCGAAGCCACCAGCGCCUUCGCCAUCGUUAGGGUAAGCUUAUGCGAGCAUUCUACCGAGGUGAGAGUCCGUCGAGCGCCGUGAAUCGCUCGCCGGAGUUACCCCGAGCUCGCCGGAGUACUCCGCCGUGACGGAUCUUGCGUUUCCCUACCUCUUUUCGUUGGUUCUUGGUUGCACUAGGUCGGUAGGGUGGUGAGGAAGCUCGGAGAGCCGUUUGCGCGCGCUCUACCGCGCCGGAGCGGCCUGGCCAUGGCGAGCAGCGCCGCCGUGCCGCCAUGCACGCUCGUCGGAGGUGCUCCGGCCAUCCUCCGGUCAAUCCGAGGGUACCGCUGGGUGCGCCUCGCUGCGGGGAGCACGAUGGUGCUCACCCCGUGGCCGGGGACCUCACUGCCGGCGAGAUCUGCUCGUCGGAGGUGUGCUCCCUCUCGGUCUCGCUGACCAGUGGGGUCAGAGGCCCACUGUCAGUCGCAGGGGGGACCCCGGUGGGUGUAGAUCCGGGUGUGUUUAGCCUUUUGCGUCGGUUUUCUUGAAUAAAUGUUUUCCAGAAAUUGAUUCAAAACUUGUAAAAUUCAUAUCUUGAGUUCUACAGUUCCAAAUUUGAUGAAAUAAAUUUUGGUGUGCUUUAUAUUUCUGGAUCUACAGUUUGAUGUAAUUGCAUGUCAUGUUUGAGUAACUUUUCUGUAUGAAAAUAUUUAAUCCAUGUUUUUGCUAAACUUGGAAAAUGCAUAGUAAUUAAAAUAUGGUUCAGAAAAAUGUGAAACUUGAUUUGUUGACUCUGCAUGUAUGUUUACUCACUGGGAAAAUAUUGCUACACAUUAUUUGGUGUAUAAAUGAAUUUAUGGUAAUUUAAAUGCUUGCAUGGCAGUGGUUUAUGAUUUUUAAUAAUUAUUUGGAUCAUGCAAUUAAUCUGGAAAUUUUUAUGGGUGUUUCUUAUGAUAUUAGACAAAUUGUAAAAAUAUGAAAUCUGCUGUUUGACACUUAUACCACAGUAGAGUAAUUGUACUUGUCCUUGUUAAUUAAUCUUGUGAUUUUUGUAGCUCAAAAUAAGUAUCCAAAAAUUAUGAAAAAUUUACAGUAGACUUUAUGCUUGGCUGGUGGUCUCCUGUAAAUUUUGUGGAAUUUAUUGAUGAAUAGAACUGCAUGUAAAUUUUAAUGGGCCUAGAAAUGAAUAAAGAAAAUUAUGAAUUGUUAUAUAUAGGUUGAGUAAAAUAAGGAGGGGUUUGGUGUAUCUUUGAAGCAUCAUGUGGGUUGCUGGUUGCACUUGAAAAACAAUUUGUAGAAGAGAAUGCAAUAGAUGUUUGAUUCAGUUGUCUGUUCUUGGAUGAUGUUGACUACCUUAUAAAGAACACGACCAAUUAAAUCGCCUACGCAUCAUGCCAUGAUCUUUUGGUACCUUCUCAUACAAGCAUCCACUCGGGCAUCUCGCACUCCACUCAUGAGCACACAUGCAUCAUACAGGCUCGCAGGAGAACGAGGUGGGACCCGAGGAGCCAGAGGAGAUUCAGGAGCAGGAACCUCCGGAAGCCCAGGAGUCCGGAGAGGAACUACAGGAGUGUCCAGAUCACCAACCCAGCACGUUUGAGAAAGGCAAGCCCCAGAGCAUUCUAAGUCUACCUAUUCUCGCUAACUUACAGGAUAUACUAUGCUUGUUCUACUAUAUUGCAUUUAAGUAAUAGGAGUUGGUUGAUACCGUUGAUGCAUUGGUACUCCUUGAUAUCACCCCUCGUUUAUCUACCUUGUCCUAUGUAGAUAGGUGCAAAGUCUAUGCUUAGCUUGCUUAGUCCCGGUAGAAGUCGGGUGAUUUCCUGUCACCUGCGAGAUAUAGGUGGAUACCUACUUAGUUCAGCAGUAAUUGCUUUGGGAAAAGAAUAACCAAGUGGGAAUGGAAUUUGGAGACCGGGCAGGGUCUUAUGGUGGGUUGACUAUAGUGCCCCUGCCUGUGUCGAUUAAGGACCGAUCGUUGACGGCCCUCUUGUCAUGUUGAACGCAUGCCCCACACUUAGCUGGAAGGAUAAGUCGUUCCAACCGCGAAGCCUGAACACUAUCCGGGCCGGGAAUCGAGCCGCCAUGCGCUGUAUUGGUGAUGGUUGAGGAGAACGACGAGGGCGCGGCGCGCAACCUUGGUAUACCUUGGAUACCUCGGUCGCCGGAACGGUCCUCGGGUACUGGCGGUGCCUGCCGAACCCGCGAAUUGGUCCUAGAUAGUGUAAUACGGUGAUCUGUAGCUCACUUGAUCAGUGAGUGUGGUUUGUGUGGGGAAUACCUCGCCAGCUGGUUAGAAAUCGAUUCGAAUCGCCAUCGCUCCUGGAUAGUGAGCACUUGACAUGAGCCCUGUCCUCGUAGUAAGGACUAUGGAACACUUGGGUUAUAAUGAUGAAUGGUUUUAAGAAAUGCUAUGAUGAGGUACUAUCAUAUCACUAUACUUGUUUGUGAUGGUACAGGUGCAAACCUAGAUAAUAGGUAAUGAUACUUUCAACUUGAGCACAUUAAAAGAAGAAAGAUUUGUGUAGGUUAUAAUAAUAGAAUCCUACGGUUUUGCAAAAUGGUCGUCAGCUACCCCACUAUAUAGCCUUCAUGAUCCUUGAUGAGUCUUUAUUUUAAGUUUAUGACGGGUAAGUCUAGCUGAGUACCUUCUCGUACUCAGGGUUCUACUCCCAUGUUGUUUUGCAGAUGGUCAAAUGUACUAUGGUUAUUGCAUCCUCUUUCUGUACCCUGCCAUGGGUGAUGACUAGACCAAGGGCGAUGGUCACUCCGUCUUCUCUUUUGCUUUUGUGGGAAUGACCGAACUAUGGCACUGUAUCAGACUAAGUGUGUGUUGUAUUUUCGAACUAUGAAGCUUCCGCUACUUGAGGAACUUGGUUUGUAAUAACUUUAAGUACUCCGAUGUAUUUCAUGAAUGUUGUAAUCUGGAUCUAUUGUGGAUGGCAACCGCUAAACUUAUUACGAUCUUGGCUGUUGUACGAUGUGUGGUUUGAAAUCCUUCGAGAUUUCACGGACUACCGGGAUUAUAUGGGCUUAAGCCUGAUGGUUUGACUAUGCAAAUGGUCACUGUUAGGCUUAAUCUCUUAUAAUUUGGUCGGUUCUGUUACACCCUGGGCCUGAGGCAGUUCUCUUCACACCUCCGCCAAGUCAUGUGGCCCCGCAAUUUCAAGCUUGAGAAACUCAAAAAAUACGACGGCAAGGAAAACCCAGAAAACUGGAUCACCCUAUACGAGAUCGCCGUCCGGUCAAAAAGCGGGAGAUGAGCACGUCAUGGCCAACUACUUCCCGGUCGUCCUCGACCAGGCUGGUCACCAGUGGCUCCUGGGCCUGCCCGAGGACUCCUUCGACUCCUGGGAAGAAUUACGCCAAGCUUUCAUCGACAAUUUUAUCGCUACCUGUGAACAGCCCGGCAACAAAUACGACCUCGAAAGGAUACGGGACAGGAAAAACGAGCCACUGCGCAAUUACAUCCGAUGAUUCUCGGAUAUGCGCCUCAAGAUCCCGAAAAUUUCACACGACGAGGCCAUAUCUGCUUUCAUAAAAGGGCUGCACUUUCAUGAAGCACCGAGGAACAAGCUACUGCGCAAAAGGCCAACAACGGUGGCCCAGCUUCUUGCCAUUGCCAAAAACUACGACGACGCCGACGACGCAGAAAAACUCAUCUGGGAUGAUGCGAGAGGACCCGACCAGCCUCCUCGGCGAGAUGAUAGUCGUGGUCGCUUCGACAACAGGAACCAUCGUCGCCCUGACAACCGCGAUCACAGGGAAGGUUGGGACAGGCGGCGCGACAACCGCGACGAUUUCAGAGGAAAGCGCCCCCGCGACCACGACCACGAAGUGAAUACAGUUAAGCGCCCCAACGGGCGGCGGGACUACCAAGAAGACUACAACAAGACACUGAAGGGACCAUGCCAACUGCAUCCAAAGUCCAGCCACGCCAUGGAAGAAUGCCGCGUCCUCAAAAGCAUCUACACGCGGCGGGCUGCUCAAGACGACCCCUCCAAGAAAAACGUGAGAAAAGACGGGCGCGAUCACGAAGACGAGGACGAGGACCAGGAUAGGGACCCACGACACCAGUAUGUCAGUCCCACUGACGUGGUCCACUCCAUCUUCGGGGGCAAGGUUUCCAUCGAGUCUAAGCGAGAAAGAAAGCUCUUAAAGAGAGCCUGCCUCAUCAUAGACAGCACGGAUGGUUUGAUCGCCGAUCGAAAUUUCCUCCCUGGUCGCACAGGGAAAUCUCCUUCAGCAGGAAGAAUCAGUGGGCCGCUAUCCCGGAGCCAGGUCGUUUCCCUCUAAUCUUGGACCCUUGCAUCAACAGCAUCAGAUUCGAGCGCGUGCUCGUGGACGGAGGAAGUUCCAUUGACAUCCUCUUUCGCAACAGCCUGCCCACCCUCAAGAUAUCUCCGGCACAGCUAAAACCCUACGACGCUCAAUUCUGGGGAGUCCUACCAGGUCAAAGUUCAGUGCCCCUCGGAUAGAUAACACUGCCUGUCCAGUUCGAAACAUCCGACCACUUCCGAACAGAGUUUGUCAACUUCGUGGUCGCCGACUUCGACGGGACCUACCACGCGAUAUUGGGCCGACCAUCACUGACAAAAUUCAUGGUGGUCCCACACUACUCGUACUUGGUCCUUAAAAUGCCCACAGAGAAGGGCAUUCUAACUGUCAGGGGCAACGUCUACACCGCAUACACUUGCGAGGAGGAAAGCUUCAAGAUUACCGAAGCAAUUGAUCUUUCAAUUCGCAUGGCAGAAACGGCAAACCAAGCCGCACAGCUCCCUCCCGACCAGCUCCGAUUGCCUGAGUAGGCGGCCGCUAGGAAGAAUUCGAAGUCCAAGGAGUACAAAGAGGUACAACUGGUUGACGGUAGCCCCGAGAAGACGGCCCUCAUCGGGGCCAAUCUGGACCCCAAAUAGGAAGACGCGCUCGUCAGGUUUCUAAGGGACAACGUGAGUGUUUUCACAUGGAAACCCGCAGAUAUGUCCGGCGUCCCACGAAACCUGAUCGAGCACUCCUUAAACGUCUCGAAGACCGCAAGACCUAUCAAGCAAAAGCUGCGACGGUUCGCUCGUGACAAAAAGGAGGCUAUUAGGAUAGAAAUAACACGGCUUCUAGCAGCCGGAUUUAUAAAAGAAGUGUAUCAUCCCGAUUGGCUCGCCAAUCCGGUUCUUGUACGCAAAAAGAAUAAUGAAUGGAGAAUGUGCGUUGAUUACACUGAUCUCAAUAAACACUGUCCUAAAGAUCCUUUCGGUCUCCCUCGCCGGAUGCGAACUCCUCUCUUUUCUAGACUGCUACUCUGGUUAUCACCAGAUCUCGCUAAAGGAAGAUGAUCAGAUCAAAACAUCUUUCAUUACUCCUUUUGGCGCAUACUGCUACAUGACCAUGUCCUUUGGACUCAAGAACGCCGGAGCCACCUAUCAACGGGCCAUCCAGCAAUGCCUCCACGAUGAGAUUCGCGAUGACCUCAUCGAGGCUUAUGUAGAUGACGUCGUCGUCAAAACAAGGGAUGCAAGCACCCUAAUCGACAACUUAGACCGAACCUUUAAGGCACUAAACAAGUAUAAGUGGAAGCUUAACCCCAAAAAGUGCAUCUUUGGGGUCCCUUCUGGUCUACUACUCGGCAAUGUCGUCAGCCGUGAUGGCAUAAGACCGAAUCCUUCAAAAGUAAAAGCAGUGCUCGACAUGCGACCACCUAAGAAUGUCAAGGAUAUUCAGAAGCUCAGCGGAUGUAUGGCCGCUCUAAGCCGCUUCAUCUCAAGACUAGGAGAAAAAGGCCUCCCUUUCUUCAAACUCUUGAAGGCGUCGAAAAAAUUCUCCUGGACAGAGGAAGCUGACGCUGCGUUCACCCAGCUCAAGACUUUCCUCACCUCUCCACCUGUCCUCACAGCGCCUCAGCCCAAUGUAGAUCUACUCCUUUACAUUGCAGCAACCGACAGGGUGGUCUCCACGGCAAUAGUGGUCGAGCGAGACGAGCUAGGACACGUCUACAAGGUCCAAAGACCCGUUUAUUUCAUAAGCAAAGUCUUAAACGAGUCCAAGGCCAGAUACCCACAAAUACAGAAGCUCAUAUACGCCAUUCUAAUAACAUCGAGGAAGCUAAAGCACUACUUCGACGGCCAUCGGGUCUUGGUAACCACCAGUUUUCCCCUUGGGGAUAUUCUGCGCAAUAAAGACGCCAACGGCAGAAUCGUUAAAUGGGCAAUGGAAUUAUGCCCAUUCUCCCUGGAUUUUCAGAGCCGUACCACAGUCAAGUCUCAGGCCCUGGUUGAUUUCAUCGCAGAGUGGACGGAUCUCAACGAGCCUCUCGUUUCUGACGUCUCUGACCACUGGUCAAUAUUCUUCGACGGGUCCUUGAACAUCAACUGCGUUACGUCCUUAGGAUCCUUUUUCCGGCAUCAAACAACGUCGCCGAGUACGAAGCAUGCCUGCACGGCAUACGACUAGCCGUUGAGUUGGGAGUCAAACGCCUCUAUGUCUAUGGUGACUCCGCUUUGGUUGUCAACCAGCUCAACAAGGAAUGGGACGCAACCCACGAGAAGAUGGAUCUCUACUGCAAAGAAAUUCGCAAAUGGGAAACCAACUUCUAUGGCAUAGAGUACAUCCACGUGGUCCGAGAUAAGAACCAGGCAGCGGAUGCGUUGUCAAAGUUAGGGUCAUCUAGGGCCCGGAUCCCGCGAGGCGUUUUCGCCCAGGACAUCCAUGAGCCAAGUGUGGGCACAGACCUGGUCAAAAAGCAACCUAUUGAGGCAAUGCUCAUAGACGACGCUACUCCGACAACCAGUAGCCGUGAUUGGCGCACCCCGUUCAUCAGAUAUAUAACGGACAGGUCAGGCUUUCAGGAUAAAACAGAGAACGAGCGCCUCAUUCGACGAUCAAAGAAUUACAUACUGGUGGACAGCAAACUUAUGUGAAAAAAUGCAUGUUCUGAAGUGCUGCUCAAAUGCAUAUCCCCAGACGAUGGCAUCAAGCUCCUAGACGACAUACAUGCCGGAUCCUGCGGCAACCAUGCCGCCUCCAGAACGCUGGUCGGGAAGGCUUUCCGAGCAGGUUUUUACUGGCCAACCGCGGUCACCGACGCAGAAAAAACUGGUCCGACAUUAUGAGGGAUGCCAGUUCUUCGCCAAAAGGACCCACGUACCUGCUCAUGAGAUUAAAACUAUCCCGUCAUCGUGGCCUUUCGCCUGCUGGGGGCUCGACAUGAUCGUGCCAUUUAAACCGGCCCCGGGCAACUUGAAGUUCGUCUUCGUAUUAAUCGACAAGUUCUCAAAGUGGAUCGAAUACAUGCCAUUGGUCAAAACAGCCUCCGAGAAGGCUGUGGAGUUCCUCAAUCAAAUCAUACACAGAUUCAGGAUCCCAAACAGUAUAAUCACCGACCUGGGUACUCCGUUCACUAGCACUACAUUUUGGGACUUCUGCGAUGACAGAGGCAUAGACAUAAAAUACGUGUCAGUAGCUCACCCACGAGCAAAUGGCCAAGUCGAGCAUGCGAACGGAAUGAUCAUUGACGCCCUAAAGAAAAGGUUGUACACCGAGAACGACAGAGCACCUGGUCGAUGGAUGAAAGAAUUACCGGCUGUGGUCUGGGGUCUCCGAACACAGGCUAGUCGGAACACGGGGGUGUCAUCCUACUUCAUGGUUUACGGCAUCGAGGCAGUGCUACCGUCUGAUAUAACCUUCGGGUCUCCAAGAAUUGAAAACAUCGACCAGUCAACAGCCGACAAUGCCAGGGAGCUCGAAAUCAACUGCAUGGAAGAAAAGCGUCUAAAUUCAUGUCUUCGAACAGCAAAGUAUCUUGCAGCAAUCAGACGGUACCACAACCAGAACGUCAAGGACCGUUCUUUCAUGGUCGGCGAUCUGGUACUCAGGUGGAAAACAAGCCAGGAAGGAAUGCACAAGCUAUCCACCCCUUGGGAAGGACCCUUUGUGGUCGCCAAAGUCACACGUCCCACAUCCUACAGAUUGGCGUAUCCAGACGGAACACGCGUGCCUAAUUCUUGGCACAUAGACAAACUGCGCCGUUUUUAUCCAUAAGUUCCAGUAACUUUUGCUUGUAAGUUUCUUAUAAUUGGCAAUAAUAAAAGUUUUCCUUUUUCGCUAUACUUUGUUUACACGCAGAGCUUUCGACGAGAACAACAAUGUCCUCUGCGAUGGAGAUUCUUAACGACUAUCAAUCAAACAUAGUGAUACAUCACUCGGAUAACUUUACAGCGCUCAAAAUAAUGGUCAUGACAAAAUCAAACUUUAUUACAAACUUUACAUACAAAGUUUACAAUAAACACCCUGAUGGGCGGUCACUAGUCUACUCCUACAUAUACUAUCCUACUGGCCUACUGCUCGGGCUGAUCACCCGCCUGGCCUUGCUGCCCGGACGAAGGGGUCGGGGCAACCGGCGCCUGGCUGGUUGGACCGCAGGCGUCGACCGCCCAUCUCCGGUAAUGGACACCCCUGACAACUCCCUGGCCGACCUGUCUGAACCCGGCUGGUCGGGGGGAGUGGCUGUCCCGCAUAGAUUGAUGUCGCCGAUCACCGUCGACGACAAGUCUAGCAGACCAGCCCGAAGGUCGUCCACCUCCUGCGGGCAGACUUCCUUGGGGUACCCCCUCUCCAGCCUGGACAAGUCGACCAGGGGAUAGUGGGCGCGCACCAUGCUGAGGACGUGUGCGCCGGCGAACUCCCCGGCGUCCUUCACGAACUGCUGGAGCCAAUCCCACGCCCGUUGCGCCUUCUCGACUGGUGUCAGCUUCGGCGCGCGGGGCUGGUCUUUUGGAAGCUCGGGGCUGAUCAAGUCCAGGACCGAGGCUACUCCUUUCCAAAGCCUAAUGCAGUUAGUCUUCUAGGAGUCCCGAUCCUUGACCAGCUCGGCUAAGUGCUUCUUGUAUUCACCUUGAGCACUACAAAUCAAGCAAGAGGUCAGUCUAAGCACAAUGAAAUGAACGUUAAGCAGCCAAAUAAAGGGGGGCGGUACGGUUAUUACCAGACAACUCUCGGUUCCUCUGGCCUAGCUCCUCCCCUGCUCGGCGCCCGGCCUCCAGCGCCCCGGCAAGCUCUCGGCCAAGCUGCUCUUUCUCUUGUCGGAGGCGCGCAACCUCUUCCUCCAAGUCUACAAGAACACUUUCCUGGUCAGCAGAUCUAAUCACACGGCUAUACGCAGCUGCUCGGAGUGUGCAACUGACCUGUCCUCUGCCGAUAUUGAUCGGCUAAACGCCGAGUAAGCUCGAGACGGCGCUCUUCCUGAGCACUCAUCUCGGCCACCUUCUCACCAACUUCUGACCGCAGCCGGUCUACCUCCGUGGACAAGGCCUUGUUCUCAGCCACAAUACCCUCGAUUUGGUCGAAGCACCGUUUUCGGUACUUCACCGUUUUCAUCGCGCCCUGCAAGGAAGAAUAUGUGUCGAAAACAGGAGCACUGCACAUAAUUGUCGAGCAGCACACAGGACCACUUACCUUAACCUCGUCCACGAGGCGCUUGGCCGCGCGUUCCACCCUUGCGGCCUCUUCCGUCUCCGCGAGCUCCUCGAGUCCAAUAAAGUGGUCCCCGCGUUGGCGCCACACGUAGACGUGCUGGCGGCCGUCACGGGGACGACCUUGGAUCUCCUCCACGUCAUCGUCAGAGGCCACCUGGGGCUCCUCGUUUGCCGCACUGCCUCUGGCCGCGGUCGAGGGCAUCACUGGCCCCUGGUCCAUGCCAGGGGAGCCUACGGGCGAAGAGGCCCCUGCUCGGGGCGGUGUUGGGACCCUCCCUUCUCCGGCUGGAGGAGUCGGGACUCUGCCUUCCUCUUGCGCAACAGUACUCGGGGGAGGGGUCCUCGUUGCCUCCUCAUCCCUCGGCGGAGUGCUCGUCGUGGCACUCGUCGGGCCAGAUUGUUGCUCGGCGCCCGUGGCAGCGGCCGCCGUCGCAGGCUGCUCUGUGGCCUGUGGCGCGGCGUCUCCAACGGCGGCAAUAGGCUCGGCCGUCCCCUGUCCAGCGACCUGGUCGGGGUUGACGUCCGACACCGCGCUAAAAAACGAAAACGACAUUUAAACCAUGUCAGAGACAGCAACAAAUAAAAAAAAGAGAACGUCGUAGUACGAAAGUUAAACACUUACAGGUCAGAUCGCCGGUGUGUUGCGGUGAACCUCCUCCUGGUCCUACCGGCUGGUGCCUGCGAUCCCGUCUCUGCGACGCGCGGUGCAGGAGGGUCGCUGGCCACCCGAUCAGUGGUGGCCGGCGCUACGUCCAGUCGACUGCGCGGUCUCCGGACCAGAGAAGGCGCGGCCUCCUCCUCCUCGUCGUCGUCAUCGGUGAUCCUGACGAGUCGACGGCGCUUCGGCGCCUGACUGCUCUCUGCCAGUAGCGCCUCUGCGGGGGAGGGGUCUGCCGCCAUCGGCCUUUUCCCCGCCACCCUGUCCUCGGUGGUCGGGGCGGGGCGGGCCUGCUCCUCCUCACUGCUGGUGUACCGAGCACACCGAGCAGCGUCAUCCUCCGGCGGUUCUUCCCCCGCGAGAUUCUCCAUCCCAGGUGCCAGUGACACGUACACUGUGCACCGGUCAACGUCUCCGAUCUGCCAAAGUAACAAAGACAAGUCAGCAACUGGAAAGAACAAAAACUAAGGAGGCACAAUCAGUAAGUAACAUUACCUUAGGAGCUGGUUGCCCCAGAUUGAAGGCCUGCAUCCGAUCACUACCAUGGAUGAAGCUCCCGUCCGCAAAGUUGAACAGCUCGUUCAACAGCUGCUGCACCUCCGCCUUCUCCAAAAUCUCAGGCAUCAUCCUGGUCGGGUCUUGGCUUCCAGCGUACUCGUACGCCGAGUGCACCCUCUUCUGGCAGGGCAUCACUCGACGACAAACGAAGUUGCCAACCACUCCUAGCCCGUCCAAACGCGACCAGUCGAUCAGCUUCGUUAGAUCCACUACUUGGCCGGUGAACUCUGGGCGGUCGGUCCAACUAACCCUCUUCUCGGGGAUGUACCCCACGUCACAGAACGUGGAGCUGCCCGGCUCUUCCCUGACGUAGAACCACUUCCUGUACCAUUCGGUGAGGGAAGUGUUCCAUGGGCAGCUUAGAUACCGGUUCUUCAUCCCAUCACGAAGAUUGAGGUAUACUCCACCUGCAAUCUUGGAGCCUCCAACCGCUCCCUUCUUCCUUAAAUAGAAAAGAUAACGGAAAAGAUCGAAGUGCGGCUCUAUGCCAACAUAGGCCUCGCACAGAUGAAUGAAAGUGGAGAUGAGAAGGAUUGAGUUCGGGUGCAGAUUGCAGAUCCCGAUCUCGUAGUACAAGAGAAGCCCCUGAAGAAAAGGAUGGAUAGGAACCCCAAAACCCCUCUUGAGAAAAUCUUCGAACACUACAAUCUCACCGGCGCGGGGGUCGGGGUAGCUCUCCCCCUCUGGCGCCCUCCAGCCGCCGAGCUCUGGGCUAUGCAGUAGCCCCAUGUCGAUGGGGUCAUUGAGGGACUUCACAGUGCUUCGAGACUUCUUCCAUUCCUUGGCCAUCAGCUCGGCCCUCUUCUUGGAGUCGCUCUUCGCCAUUGACGAUGCAGGAGUGAUUGCGAGUUAGGAGGAUGCAGGUGGUUGUAGAAGGCAAGAGCGGAAAGCUUGAAGGCAAUGGCAGGGUAAGCAACGCGGGGGUACGGUCAGGAUUUUAUAAACCACAACUCCACCCCUCCCACUUCCCGCAUUCUUGGGAAGUGGGCGGGCCCAACGGCACACGCGGCGCUUCGGUUUUCAAUAAUUAUCGGUAGUUAAUGCGGCGGCCUUUUCAUAUAAUUGAUGGUUUUCUUUUCUCAAACCGCAAAAAGGGCGGCUACACAGUUACCAGGCGCAACUUUUCACACAACCCUCUGACAUUACGUCAGGAGGUCUCGUCACGUCAAUCAUUUAUGUGGUCAGAUUUUUUCAAAAUAAACAGACAAAAAUUGGUGGAGGGACAACAUUCCUGUGGACUGUGCCGACCACCGAGCACAAAUAUGCUCGGGGACUGGUCACCCAGUCUGUCAACUCGGAUAUCCAGGGACUGCACCGACCACCGAGCACUGCAUGCUCGGGGACUGGUCGCCCAGUCUGCUAGUUCGGUAAUCCAGGGACUGCACCGACCAUCGAGCACUGCAUGCUCGGGGACUGGUCGCCCAGUCUGCUAGUUCGGUAAUCCAGGGACUGCAUCGACCACCGAGCAUUGUAUGCUCGGGGACUGGUCGCCCAGUCCGUUAGCUCGGGAAUCUGGGGGCUGUACCGAUCACCGAGCAUUGAACGCUCGGGGACUGGUCGACCAGCCUGCCAAAAUAAUAAGUCUAUCCGAUAGUAAGAGAGUAUGAGAUGCUCGGGGACUUGAUAAUUUUAAUUUUUUAGACCUUGCUACAAGGUUCAUACUUCGCCUUCCAGCAAGCUCGGGGACUACAUCGGUACGAUGCAUCUGGAUGCAUCUCAGUUUCAAAAUCUCUUUGAGGACUUUUCUUUUGACCCUGGCACCACGUCCCUACGUCACCUACUGCCAGGCUCAGGGACUAAGUGGGCACACUUCACCUUGCGGUGAAUUUGCUUGUUUUAGGGCACACUUUGCUGUACAGAAAAGUAAAGUGGGCACACUUCAUCGGAAAAGAAAUAUUUUUUCUCAAGAGCACCAUGCAUACUUCGAACAACUAGCUUCUUCGAUGAUGAUGUUGAUCAAAUGUCUUUAAGAUUUGGUCAAAAUACCGUUGCAACAGUUUGGGCAACUUUCAUGCUAAUUGAAGACGUCAAGUUUCACUGGUCGAAGAAGCUCGAGACGGCGUGUUACUUCACAAUACAUGGUGCUCGGGGACUAGCUAUGGGGGUAUAAACCCCUAUACCCUCACGGCCAGACUUGGGCCAGGAGGCUUGGCCCAUUACGAGACAAGUUCGAGGCUUGAUCUGAUAGCCCGGAGUUUUGUGCAAGGAAACAAGGCAUGGAGAUCAAGCAGGAUUCUAGUCAGUUAGAAUAGAAAUUGAUAUCAAACUAUCUAUGGCAAUUGUAACCGACUAGGAUUGAUUUCCAGAUCUGUAACCCUGCCCUACGGACUAUAUAAGGAGAGGCAAGGGACCCCCCUAGGACAUCAAUAUUCUCUCAACACAAAUCAAUACAAUCAGACGCAGGACGUAGGUAUUACGCCAACUCGGCGGUCGAACCUGGAUAAAAAGCUUGUCCGUGUCUUGCGUCACCAUCGAGUUCGUAGUUUGCGCACCGUCUACCGAUAAACUACUGUUGGGUAUUCUUAACAUCAUUACCAAAAGUAGACUAAGUUCUCUAAAUCUAGUAACGGUGCCAAAAAUGCCAAACCUAUCCCUCACACCACUUAAGCCAAGUUGUCAUCCCCAGCAUGAUAUAUGUCACAGAACUGACCAAAUUAUAAGAGUUCAAGUGUAGAAACGAUCGAGAAGCAAUCAAGUUCCCAAACUUGAGCCCAUAUAAUCCUGCUAGUCAAUUGAAAUCACGAAGGACUUCAAACCAACUCGCAACAAACCAAGAUCGUAAUAGUUCAACAUAAACACAGCGAAUGUUACAUAGUCAUUCAUUGCCGUCGAAGCGGCACCACAUCGGAGUAUUAAGUUAUUACAACACUUGUUCGAAAUAGCGGAAGCAAAAUAAUUACACACACUUGUUCCAAAUUUCAGUUCUCAAGUUUUUGUUAUUGCCAGAGUCUACACCAUCCUUCCAAAAGCAUCAGAUACGAGGUUGUUAGAGAACUGUGCCCAACGGUUAGUCCUCAUCCCCAGCGGGAUGGAGACAGGUCUUGCAGAAACCGUCAUAGAAGAUGUCAUCUGCAACAGGUGGGAAUAAACCCUGAGUACGAGAAUGUACUCAGCUAGACUUACCCGUCUAGUAAGACAUAAAAGACACCAAGGAUCAUGCAAGGCUAAUAUAAAAGUAGAGCUGGUUGACUCAACAUUUUGCCAAAAGCCUUUAAUAAGACUAAUUCAUUUUAAGAGCAUCAUAUUUAUUUAUCAUCAGCCUACCACUAGAUUAGCACCUGUACUACAACACAUCACUUGAUUAUUACAAGCAAUAAUAACCAUAUCAAGUUCAUCAUAUGUUCUUCUUGCUAUCAUCAUUAUCAUGAACCAAGUUCAUUAGUGAAUGCUACGUUUGCCGCUGCUCUGUCAAGUUCUCACUGACCGAGAGAGACGGCGAUUCGAAUCGAAUUCCUAUCCAGCUGGAGGGUUAUUCCUAGCACUCACCCAAGCAUCCCCCGUUGGAGAGCCAACGGGUCACCUUUGGUACAACUCAGGAAUCGCGGCUCCGAUCAGCGCCGCACUCCCAGGGCUACCACUCUGCCAGGGAGGUCAGGAAUUUUAACUCACCUGCCUUUGGGCUUACGCCAAUGGUCCCCCGCACACCGCACUUCCUCCGGUAGUGCGCACUUUAUACUUGCCGGUCUUCCGGCCUGAAUCAUACUACUCGGCUUCGCGGUCGGAACGAGUUAUCCGGCCAACUAAGUGUCAGGCAUGCGUUCAACAUGACAAGAGGACGUACAACGAUCGGUCCUUAACUGCCACAGACGGAGCUACUAUAACCUUGCAAAACUCCGCCCGGCUUAAGUCAAAUUAAUCAGGUUCCAUCCACGAUAGCACAUAUAUACCAUCGUGAUCCGACGUAACCCUAUAUCGCGCAGGUGACAGGAUAUCACCCGACUUCUACCGAUUAAAGCAAGGCUAAGCUGCUACCCGAUCCUAACUCUAUAACCAGGGUAUGGUUUGUAUCUGGACAAGGAUGGAGUAACAUGCAACAAAGGCUUCAUCACAACUCCUAUACCUAAUGCAGCAAUAGAUAUAACAUAUUAAGUAAACUUUCAAAAGUAAAGGGAGGCUUGGAAUGCUCCGGGGCUUGCCUUUCACGAAUGAAGCUGGCUCGUGAUUCGGGCACUCAACUUCUUCUUCGGGCUCCUCGAGUCCGACUUGCUGGACCUCCACCUCUUGGCUGCCCUCCUGGCUUUCGGGGUUCACUUGCAGCUCGUAGGAGGCUGUCGCGUCCGAUGCACCUAUUGCAUGCUCGAGGAAUAAGGAGGUGUGCAUACAAAAGAAUGAGUGCUUGACAACAUAAUGAUCUCACUGGACACUCAUUUACGGAGUAACACAGUUAUACAAGUUCACCCAAGGUAGUAAGUUAACUUAGUCCAAAACCUAUCAUGAUACUAAAACAGCAAGCAACACAAAACAGGAGUAAAUCAGUAAAUAAAUCAUAAGUAAUGAUAGAAAGAUCCAACAAACAUAAGUUAAGACAUUCUGGAAAGCUUAUGAAAUUGUCUACAAAUCCUCUUUAAACAUCACAGCAAGAUUCAUACAUUAAACCAGUCAUUUAAACAAAGUUCCAGGUUCUGUCCCAGAAAAACAGAGAGCACCUAUUUCUGGAACCCAACUUGGAACAGCCAUAACUUUUAAAAUACUGGACCAAAUGAUCCCAAAUUUAAACCACAGCUAGUUCAAAAAGUCUACAACAACUUUGAUUUAGACAAGCUUCCCAGAAAAGCAAGUUAUCAUUAAGCAAAAGUUAAAUUACUCCCUUGCUGUCCAGAACAGCUUUUAACCCACUAAUUAAUUAUUUAAUGACAUGACCAAAACACAAACCAUGCCAAUCACAUGGCUUAUGAGCACAAGCAUAUCACAAGAUUACCAGAACAUUAGAGGAUAACCCUCAAACAUAUACUUAACAAGGCAUUUAUUAAUUAAUCUUAGAAAAGUGCAUAAUUACAAGAUACUAGCCAAAGUGCUCAGAAAAAUCUACAAAAAUUACAGAAACACAAGGAUAGCAUUAAAGCGUCACCAUAAAAAUUUCAGGGCAAUUGCACAUACCAAAUUAAAGAUAUACAUUCAACAUGUAACUAGGUGCUUAUUUCAUAAAUUCAGAAACAUGACUUAUAUGGUGUCAAACAAUUUCAGAUUAUUUAUAUCUUAGGAAUACCAUAAACAUGUUUACUACCAAAGGAGAACACCAGCAUAAGCACCAAUAUUUUAUAUGAUUUAAUCAAGGAAACAAGCCACAUUUCAAUCAUAAUUUACAUAUCCAAGCUGCAUUAUUCCAAAAAUCAUGAAAUAUUUAUCAUAGCCUUCUAAUAUCACACAGAGACUACCAUAAAAUUUUCAGAGCAAACUAAGCAGUAAAACAAGAGAUAUGAAUUUAUCCAUGAAUAACAAAAUUAAAUCCUAAUAAAUAUUUUUCCCAGAAAACAUGGUUCAUUUUAUAUUUUUAUUAAUAACUAGCCAUCUCAGUGAACACCACAAAAUUGGUUUCACAAUUUUUGGAUCUCAGAAACAGGAGAUAUGAUUUUUUCAAGAAAGCAAAAAAUCAGGAUUUUGAAUAAAAGAAAAGGAGGGAAAGAGGUGACACUGACAGUGGACCCCGGCUGUCAGAUUCAUCUCCCUCACGGCCGAGGCGACUCUCGCCGGCGAUUUCUCCGCGACGGCGAGGUCUCCGGCCAAACCAAGGGCACCAACGUGAUCCCCAGACUCUAGCGACUCGAUCGACCCCUUUUUCCCCACGGCGGAGCCACCGGAAGGGGCUCACCGUCGACGAUGGCGGCUCGGCGGAGGUGCUCGGCGUUACGCCGGAGCCCUCAGGCUGGUAGAGCGUGACCUAAGACCUUCUACAGCACCAGUGGACUACGACGAAGCUUCCUAGGUACGUGCUUGGCUUGAAACCUCGUGGAACACGCAGGCCACGAGAGCACCCAUCUCCGGCGGAAACACGGCGGCGCUGCGCGUCGUGUCCGGCGACAGAGAGCUCGGUAGAGCGUCCACCAAGUGGUGCAAACGCAAGCUAGGAACCUAAGCAACCUCUAGGACCUAACCAGAGACGACGAGAGGCUUCACAGGGCUCGGCAUUGGGCUCGCCGGAAAAGAUGGUCAUGGCGACACGAUUUGGGGAAAGAAAGGAAUGGCGGCUCACCGGUGGAUUUCACGGCGAGGUGGUGGGUGGAGAAUGGAGAGCGGUUCACGGCGAAGCUUUGGGUGAAGUUUGGUGAGCAAUGGCGCAGCAAGGAACGCGCGCGAGCUCGCCGGAGUACGCUCGCGACAGAGAGCUCUCGGCAGCCGCGUUUCUGGCGAGAGGGGCGAGCCAGAGCGGAAGUGGACGCGUCCACUCUGCUCGGGGCGUCGCCGUGGAUGUCAUGCGCGCGCUGGGAGCUGACGAGCGAGGCCAUCGCCGGCGUACGGACGACAUCUGGCGGACAGGUGUCGAUCGGGACAUCCACGCCGGCGAGCUCAGCUCUGAAUCGAAACGCGCGAUCACCGACUGACAGAGCAACUUCGUCGACGAUUAGCUCCCAAACCAGAGCGAGUUAGAACAUGAUAUAGUUGACAAAGUUGGAGUACUAGCCGUGAUCUAUAACUUUGUCAACUGGAGCAAAAGCUAGAUCGGCCUGGAUCGAGAGGUAUGAAGUUUUCAAUACCGAUCAAGCAAACUGGUUUCGUUCCAGGACUUAGAAAAUUUUCUAAGUGUUGGAAACAACCCCAAAUCUGCCUUGUGGGUCACUUUUGAGCUAUUUGUGUUCAUUUUCAUGAGAUGGCCAUAAAACAACUUUUGUUCCUUAUAACAUUUUCUACAACUUUGCUGUAGGAAGUUUUGACACUUUUUAAAAGCCUAAGGAAAAGAGGUUUCUAGGGCCUAUUUACACAAGUAUGACUUAAAGGCAUAUUUUGGAGAAGUGAUCAACAUGAACAUUGUUCCCAAGGUCAAGUUAAGCAAAGAUAAACUAAUUACCAAGGCAUAGAGCACAAACACAAGCAUGGUUCACUCAAACAUAAGCAUAAGAAACCUAUUUAAGCAAUUUAAAUCACAAUUUUGCAUAGAAUGACAUGGCUCAAGAUAGAUGAUGAUCAUGCUAUGCUUUGAGUGGAUGAUGAUGCUCAUGCUAUGCACAUGAUCAAUGCAACCAUAACACUGGGGUGUUACAGCCCUCCCGCCUUACAAAAAAUCUCGUCCCGAGAUUUGAAAGCUUACUGAUUUUCGAAGAAUGUUUUGUAAACUUCUUUUAAAUAAUCCUCCGUCUCCCAAGUGGCAUCUUCCUCCCCGUGGUUACUCCACAACACCUUGUUGAACUUAACCAUACGAUUAUGAGUCUCCCGUUCCUUGCGAUCAAGAAUCGCUACGGGUUUCUCCUCAUACACCAAGUCUGACUUCAACUUGAUAUCCCGAACUUCCACUCGUUCCUCCGGUACACGAAGGCACUUCUUUAAUUGUGAUACGUGGAAGACAGGGAAAAUAGCUCGAAGCGCAACUAGGAGUUGAACUUUGUACGCCACAUUCCCUUUCUUUUCGAGAAUCCGAUAAGGUCCCACGUAACGAGGUGCAAGCUUUCGCUUGACUCCGAACCUUUGUACACCCUUCAUCAGAGACACUUUGAUAUACACAUGGUCACCAACUGAAAACUCAACCGGCUUCCUUCUCUUGUCGACAUAACUUUUCUAACAAGCUUGAGCAGCUUCCAGAUGUUGCUGGAUGGUACGGACUUUCUGCUCUGCUUCGUUCAUGAAAUCGAUGCCAUAAAACCUUCGCUCUCCGGCUUCUACCCAAUUCAACGGGGUUCGACACUUUCGACCGUACAGAGCUUCAAACGGAGCCAUCUUGAUACUCUCCUGAUAACUAUUGUUGUAGGAGAACUCAGCUAAUGGCAACCACUUAACCCAAGAACCUUUUGAAGAGAGAGCACAUGACCUCAACAUGUCUUCUAGGAUUUGGUUGACCCUUUCAGUUUGACCUGCCAUUUGGGGAUGAUAAGCGGAGCUACGGACUAAAUGAGUACCAAUUUGCUCAUGCAGACAUUCCCAAAAACGAGCAGUGAACUGUGGUCCACGAUCUGAUAUAAUUGUUCGAGGCACACCAUAUUGACGAACAAUGUGCUCGAAAUACAAUUCUGCAUAUUGAUGUGGACGAUAGUCAGUUCUGACUAUAAUAAAUCGAGCAACCUUGGUCAAGCGAUCUACAAUCACCCAGACAGAGUCGUAACCCUUAACAGAAGUUGGAAGUCCACUGAUGAAAUCCAUACUGACUUCUUCCCAUUUCCAACCAGGAAUUGACAAGGGUUGAAGCAAACCAGCUUUCAUGUGAACAGCCUUCACACGACAACAAUUGUCACAACGAGCGACAAAAGCAGCGAUCUCCUUUUUCAUCUUUGUCCACCAAAACAAAGGUUUCAGAUCCUGAUACAUCUUGCUACUACCAGGAUGGAUAGACAAUUUGGAUGAAUGAGCUUCAGACAAGAUCUGAUUUCGCAGCUCGCGGUCUUUUGGGACCACUAGUCGAUUUUUGAACCAAAGAAUUCCGUUCUCAUUGACUCGGAAAUGCUUGGUUUCUUCCUCUUUCAUUUUUCUCUUUAUGUGAUGGAUGCCUACAUCUGUCUGCUACAAUUCGAUAACUCGAUUGCGAAGAGUACUCUCCAAAGAAAUCUGGUUGAGCACAAGCGGAUGCAUUAGAUGUGACAACAACGGAUCUUCCACUUGGAUUGAGUGACAGUGCGCUUUCCGACUCAAGGCAUCCGCCACCACGUUUGCCUUGCCCGGAUGAUAGUGCACUUGUAGAUUAUAAUCUUUAAUCAACUCAAGCCAUCUUCGCUGCCGCAUGUUCAGUUCAGGUUGAGUGAAGAUAUACUUGAGGCUCUUAUGAUCGGUGUAGAUAUUACAUAGAUUACCCAGCAGAUAAUGCCUCCAGAUUUUCAAAGCAUGAACAACUGCUGCCAAUUCUAAAUCAUGAGUAGGGUAAUUGAUCUCAUGCUUUCGAAGUUGGCGCGAGGCAUACGCGAUAACGCGACCUUCCUGCAUCAACACACAGCCUAAACCAAUGCCUGACGCGUCACAAAAGACAUCGAAGGGCUUUUCGAUAUCAGGUUGAGCUAGGACAGGAGCUGAAGUCAGCAAUGUCCUCAACUUGUGGAAUGCCUCUUCACACUCAGGCGUCCACACAAACUUCUCAUCCUUCUGAAGUAGGCGAGUCAUAGGCUUGGAUAUCUUUGAGAAUUCGGGAAUGAAUCGACGAUAAUAUCCGGCCAGACCAAGAAAACUCCGAACCUCGUGUACCGAAGUUGGAACCUUCCAAUCCAGCACUUCUUGCACCUUGGCUGGAUCCACCGAUAUGCCUUCUUUAGAUAAGACAUGGCCCAAGAAAGGUACUUUCUUCAGCCAAAACUCGCAUUUGCUAAACUUGGCAUAAAGCUGAUGUUCGCGCAAACGCGAUAACACUACACGCAGAUGCUCUGCAUGCUCCUGUUCAUUGCAGGAAUAUACCAAGAUAUCAUCAAUGAAGACCACCAUAAACUUGUCCAAUUCAGGCAUGAACACUGAAUUCAUGAGAUACAUGAAGUGAGCAGGUGCAUUUGUAAGACCGAAGGACAUGACGAGAUACUCAUACAACCCAUACCUCGUCGAGAAAGCUGUCUUAGGUACAUCUUCAAGACGGAUCUUGAUUUGAUGGUACCCAGAUCGCAAAUCAAUCUUAGAGAAUACCUUAGCUUUAGACAACUGAUCAAACAAGAUAUCAAUGCGAGGAAGAGGGUAUUUGUUCUUGAUGGUCACCACAUUUAGGGGACGAUAGUCCACACACAUGCGUAAAGAUUGAUCCUUCUUCUUCACAAAGAUAGCCGGACAACCCCAAGGGGAAGAACUAGGACGGAUAAGACCCUUCUUCAACAACUCAUUCAGUUGGGUCUUAAGCUCAGCUAAUUCGUUGGGUGGCAUUCUAUAAGGCCUUCUAGAGAUGGGAGCGGUACCUGAAAUCAAUUCAAUUUUGAACUCCACAUCCCGAUCUGGAGGAAGCCCGGGUAAAUCAUCAGGAAAAACAUCCGGGAACUCACACACCACCGGAAUGUCCUGAAUAGCCUUAGAUGUAACUGCAUUCACAGUGUUACGGAUUUGAAUAUCCCGAGGGAGUUGCACUAGAAAUGCCUCCUUGGUGUUUGGGUCUUUCAACAUCACUACAUGAGUGGUGGUAUCGAUAAGAACUCCAUUGCCACUCAUCCACUUCAUCCCCAGAAUUACAUCUAUGCCCACACCGGGUAGAACAACCAAAUCAGCAAGUAUCUGACGGUCUCCUAUUUCCAGAGUUGCCCCCAAAACCACUUGAUUGGUGGAAAUAUCAUUUCCCGCAGCACUAAUACAAUAACUGCCCUUAUCAAGUGUAAUUGCCUUGAUAUUAUGCUUAGACACAAAUUCAGAACUCACAAAAGAAUGCGAUGCGCCUGAAUCAAAAAGCACAAGUGCGUCAUGUUGAUUGACUAGAAACUUACCUGCCGUAACUACGUCACCAGCAGGGAUUGCUUCUACAGUGGUGUAGUGAACACGCCCCUGACGGACGUUCCCCUGGUUGACCUUCUUUGGCGGGUAAGGACAGUUGCUCUGCCAAUGCCCGGUCUGAUUGCAGUUCCAGCACGGACGGUUGGCAGGUGGAGUCUUGGCAUAGUUGGGACCCGUGUUGCCCCUAGGAAGAGCAAUAGAGUACCCCUUGCGGAAACCCGUCUUCGCCUGAUUCUUCUUCACCGGAGGACGGUACCGCUGGUUAGGCAUUGGAGCGCGGAAGGGUGGCUUAGCUGCCACUGGAGCCUUGGACUGAGAUGACCCUGUCCAGGCCUCAAAAGCCCUCUUGCGAGUCUUGGUCACAGUGUACACAGUGUUGUAGAUCUCUUGAGUGAGAGCAUCACUGACAAACUCAUUGAAAGUUGCACACUUAGUGCGGCCCAUAGUCUUCAGCAAAUUGGGGCCCAAACCCCGCUUGAAACUAGCAAUCUUUUUCGCCUCAGUGUUCACAAACUCAGGAGCAUACCUAGACAAAUGAUUGAAAGCAUGCAAAUACUCCUUCAUAGUCUUGUUGCCCUGAGUUAACUACAUGAACUCAGUAUGUUUCAUCUCCAUGACACCAGGAGGAAUGAAAUGCCCUUUAAAAGCCUCACGGGACAGAUUCCAAUCAAGUACAGUGUUGGCUAGAAGAGCUACCCGAUACUGAUUCCACCAGAUGCCUGCCGGACCUUGCAGUUGGUGAGCUGCAUACUCUGCCUUCAAACCUUCAGUCAACCGAAGCAAGCGGAACUUUUGUUCCACCGUGUUCAGCCAUUCUUCAGCUUGAAGGGGUUCCUCAGCUUCUCUGAAAGGUGGGGGCUUUGUAUCCAUGAAAUCCUUGAAGCUACUGUACUGGUUAGGAGCUGGCCCUUCAUGUGCAUUACGACCACCCUGAUUCACCAUCCGAUUGAUGGUCUCAGUGAGCAUCCUCUGAUUGUCCACCAUCAUUUGCAUUAACUCAGCAGGAUUGGGUGGUGGAGGAGGAGGAGGUGGAUUCAUAUUUGCACGCUGUUCCGCACCUCGGGUGCCAUGAGAGAUCUGUAAAGACACAGUCAGUGAGUAUUGAUGAUGACAAGAUUGCCGCAGAAGAACUUAUUUUUAUGCCCGAAAGUAUUCGAGAGAAUAGCUUUAUAGAAAAGGCACAAUAAUUCAAUUCCACAAAACAACAUCACCAAUCCAACACAUGACAGAGAUAUCCGCAAUAUGCACCACAACGGGGAACAUCGUCAUAACAUAACAAACAUGUUAAGAUUGCACAUUGGGUCCAAACAGUUAUUACACCAUCACAGUACAUGCCAUGAGUCAAGGUCAAAGUUCUGGAUUACAACAUGGUUACAAAAGCACCACGACUGACUGGCAUACUACAAAAGAUCCUCGCAUAACACUACCCUCUACUCCCUACACUCCAGGCUCGUCGUCCGAGUCAGCGUCGAAGAUCGCCUCUCCAUCCUCGUCGCUAACCGGCUCAAGCUCCUCGUCCUCCACGUCCUCGUGCAAGGGUGGUGCAGCCGCUGCUGGUCCAUCGACCUCCAUACCAUCAUCAUCGGCCACAAUCACCUGAGGUCCCAUCUCUGGAUACACGGGUAUAGGGCGAGGAAUAGGGUGUAGCAAGUUGUUGAGACGGUGAAUCUCCACAAGACCAGCCUCUAUCUGAUCCUGCAGAUUGUUCUCCCGCUCAAGCGACUGAACUCGGUGCAUCUCCCAUGCUCGGUGCCUGUUCUCCGACACGCGGAGUGCAGUGUCCCUAUCACGAGUGAUCUGCACCAAGUGCUCCUGAACGGUCUCCCUCUCUCUAGCUAACUGACUCAUCUGAUCCUGCUUAUGAUCUCUCUCUCUAAUGGCCUUCACCCACUGCUACCUACGGUACUCCGCAAUGCCUUCCCAGUCAUUGCGGUCCUUCUGAGCUUGCUCCAGGAGUCUAGCUUGCUUGCGAAACUUGCGAGCACGCUUUUCAGCCUUCCGUUGCAUCUCCUGAGCCUGGCGAACAGCCACCAUCACCUGUGCAUAGGUGUCCUCUCGCUGACUGAUCAGCUUGAGCACAGCCAUCAUAGCACUCAUAGCAGGACUAGAACGCUCAGCUCUCUCUCCCCUGCCUCGAACCAAAGCACAACCAUCAGCCUGUUUCCACUCCGCUGCUGCUGGGUCAGCACGGGGAAUGGAGGCCGCUGGUCCUCCCAUCAGCUCAUCACCACACCUCUGACAGAUAUCGAGCAGGAUAGUCUGGGCUGCAACCUGAGCUGCCUCCCAAGGAGUCUGCCCAUCUGAGCUACAAGUCCAGCCUGUCCAUGCAGGCUUGUCCCCAUGUGGAGGGACAACUCCCUGCACAGCAAACCAUUGUAUCCCUCCUGUGCUCUCCAACUCCCACCAGGAAUACUGAGGUGGCUCAGUAUACCCGACAGUCUGUAACACUCUCCAGAGCAGGGUAGGAGUGCCAAACUCGCGCAAGAACAUGUCACUGGGACGGAAUGAAGCGGGUGCGUCCAUCUGUGGAAAGAAAUAGGAAUACCGUGGGUAGAAGAGGAUUAGUUCAAGCAACAUUUAUUUAAUUAAAAGGGACGACAUUGUAAGGGAAGGAGUAGACAGAAUGUAUGUAUGAAUGCGACAUGAUGCAUGCACGAACCGUACGUCCUCACAAACUUAGAAAAUUAAUAUUCUAACGGAUAUACGGUGGCAUACAUUCCUCUCUCGAUACGAUAACUAUCGGUUUACACGUGCGCUGUUAAAGUACCUGCAGAAAACAUUUCAGCCCAACAGUUCCCAAUAUAUCACUCAAGAAAGCAGUAAACUAAGUGUACAUUGUUUGGACAUGCCCAACAUGCACAAACAAUGACACCACAGCUAACCAAGAAUUUAAAUGCUCCCCAAUUAAGUUUCUUUCGUGGUGCCAUGGUUUUGACAUGUAACCACUCCAGAAAACCACCGCGAACACUCCCCUAGACCGCCGUUUGGACGAUCAUGCUCUCACAGCUCACACUUACCAGAGCGUAGGUGCGACGUUGCAUAAUUUAAAUCUAGCGACAUAUGUGGCUAAUUCACAUAUGAAGGCUACCUCCACCAUUAAACCACAGGGUAGCAUAGUGCGGUCAUCACACAUCCAUACCUGAGUACUGCCGGUGAUGCAUAAAUAAACCCCCCCAAGUCAGUACUUAAAUAGCCACCUAUAGUCCUUAUGUGGGCAAGGAGGAUUCGACCACUGGCAUAACUUAAUUAUCGAUUUACACCAUUUUAUUUAAAAAUUCUUUUGUUUUUAAAUACACAAACGCUGCAUUUAUAAUGCUGAACUUGCUCCGAUGCCAGCUGUCACAGAACCCACCAAAUUAUAAGAGUUCAAGUGUAGAAACGAUCGACAAGCAAUCAACUUUCCAAACUUGAGCCCAUAUAAUCUCGGUAGUCAAUUGAAAUCACGAAGGACUUGAAACCAACUCGCAACAAACCAAGAUCGUAAUAGUUCAACAUAAACACAGCGAAUGUUACAUAGUCAUUCAUUGCCGUCGAAGCGGCACCACAUCGGAGUAUUAAGUUAUUACAACACUUGUUCGAAAUAGCGGAAGCAAAAUAAUUACACACACUUGUUCCAAAGUUCAGUUCUCAAGUUUUUGUUAUUGCCAGAGUCUACACCAUCCUUCCAAAAGCAUCAGAUACGAGGUUGUUAGAGAACCGUGCCCAACGGUUAGUCCUCAUCCCCAGCGGGAUGGAGACAGGUCUUGCAGAAACCGUCAUAGAAGAUGCCAUCUGCAACAGGUGGGAAUAAACCCUGAGUACGAGAAUGUACUCAGCUAGACAUACCCGUCUAGUAAGACAUAAAAGACACCAAGGAUCAUGCAAGGCUAAUAUAAAAGUAGAGCUGGUUGACUCGACAUUUUGCCAAAAGCCUUUAAUAAGACUAAUUCAUUUUAAGAGCAUCAUAUUUAUUUAUCAUCAGCCUACCACUAGAUUAGCACCUGUACUACAACACAUCACUUGAUUAUUACAAGCAAUAAUAACCAUAUCCAGUUCAUCAUAUGUUCUUCUUGCUAUCAUCAUUAUCAUGAACCAAGUUCAUUAGUGAAUGCUACGUUUGCCGCUGCUCUGUCAAGUUCUCACUGACCGGGAGAGACGGCGAUUCGAAUCGAAUUCCUAUCCAGCUGGAGGGUUAUUCCUAGCACUCACCCAAGCAUCCCUCGUCGGAGAGCCAACGGGUCACCUUUGGUACAACUCAGGAAUCGCGGCUCCGAUCAGCGCCGCACUCCCAGGGCUACCACUCUGCCAGGGAGGUCAGGAAUUUUAACUCACCUGCCUUUGGGCUUACGCCAAUGGUCCCCCGCACACCGCACUUCCUCCGGUAGUGCGCACUUUAUACUUACCGGUCUUCCGGCCUGAGUCAUACUACUCGGCUUCGCGGUCGGAACGAGUUAUCCGGCCAACUAAGUGUCAGGCAUGCGUUCAACAUGACAAGAGGACGUACAACGAUCGAUCCUUAACUACCACAGACGGAGCUACUACAACCUUGCAAAACUCCGCCCGGCUUAAGUCAAAUUAAUCAGGUUCCAUCCACGAUAGCACAUAUAUACCAUCGUGAUCCGACGUAACCCUAUAUCGCGCAGAUGACAGGAUAUCACCUGACUUCUACCGAUUAAAGCAAGGCUAAGCUGCUACCCGAUCCUAACUCUAUAACCAGGGUAUGGUUUGUAUCUGGACAAGGAUGGAGUAACAUGCAACAAAGGCUUCAUCACAACUCCUAUACCUAAUGCAGCAAUAGAUAUAACAUAUUAAGUAAACUUUCAAAAGUAAAGGGAGGCUUGGAAUGCUCCGGGGCUUGCCUUUCACGAACGAAGCUGGCUCGUGAUUCGGGCACUCAACUUCUUCUUCGGGCUCCUCGAGUCCGACUUGCUGGACCUCCACCUCUUGGCUGCCCUCCUGGCUUUCGGGGUUCACUUGCAGCUCGUAGGAGGCUGUCGCGUCCGAUGCACCUAUUGCAUGCUCGAGGAAUAAGGAGGUGUGCAUCCAAAAGAAUGAGUGCUUGACAACAUAAUGAUCUCACUGGACACUCAUUUACGGAGUAACACAGUUAUGCAAGUUCACCCAAGGUAGUAAGUUAACUUAGUCCAAAACCUAUCAUGAUACUAAAACAGCAAGCAACACAAAACAGGAGUAAAUCAGUAAAUAAAUCAUAAGUAAUGAUAGACAGAUCCAACAAACAUAAGUUAAGACAUUCUGGAAAGCUUAUGAAAUUGUCUACAAAUCCUCUUUAAACAUCACAGCAAGAUUCAUAAAUUAAACCAGUCAUUUAAACAAAGUUCCAGGUUCUGUCCCAGAAAAACAGAGAGCACCUAUUUCUGGAACCCAACUUGGAACAGCCAUAACUUUUAAACUACUGGACCAAAUGAUCCCAAAUUUAAACCACAGCUAGUUCAAUAAGUCUACAACAACUUUGAUUUAGACAAGCUUCCCAGAAAAGCAAGUUAUCAUUAAGCAAAAGUUAAAUUACUCCCUUACUGUCCAGAACAGCUUUUAACCCACUAAUUAAUUAUUUAAUGACAUGACCAAAACACAAACCAUGCCAAUCACAUGGCUUAUGAGCACAAGCAUAUCACAAGAUUACCAGAACAUCAGAGGAUAACCCUCAAACAUAUACUUAACAAGGCAUUCAUUAAUUAAUCUUAGAAAAGUGCAUAAUUACAAGAUACUAGCCAAAGUGCUCAGAAAAAUCUACAAAAAUUACAGAAACACAAGGAUAGCAUUAAAGCAUCACCAUAAAAAUUUCAGGGCAAUUGCAUAUACCAAAUUAAAGAUAUACAUUCAACAUGUAACUAGGUGCUUAUUUCAUAAAUUCAGAAACAUGACUUAUAUGGUGUCAAACAACAGUUUUCAGAUUAUUUAUAUCUUAGGAAUACCAUAAACAUGUUUACAACCAAUGUAGAACACCAUCAUAAGCACCAAUUAUUUUAUAUGAUUUAAUCAAGGAAACAAGCCACAUUUCAAUCAUAAUUUACAUAUCCAAGCUGCAGUAUUCCAAAAAUCAUGAAAUAUUUAUCAUAGCCUUCUAGUACCACACAGAGACUACCAUAAAAUUUUCGGAGCAAACUAAGCAGUAAAACAAGAGAUAUGAAUUUAUCCAUGAAUAACAAGAUUAAAUCAUAAUAAAUAUUUUUCCCAGAAAACAUGGUUCAUUUUAUAUUUGUAUUAAAAACUAGCCAUCUCAGGGAACACCACAAAAUUGGUUUCACAAUUUUUGGAUUUCAGAAACAGGAGAUAUGAUUUUUGCAAGAAAGCCAAAAAUCAGGAUUUUGAAUAAAAGAAAAGGAGGGAAAGAUGUGACACUGACAGUGGACCCCGGCUGUCAGAUUCAUCUCCCUCACGGCCGAGGCGACUCUCGCCGGCGAUUUCUCCACGACGGCGAGGUCUCCGGCCAAACCAAGGGCACCAACGUGAUCCCCAGACUCUAGCGACUCGAUUGACCCCUAAUUCCCCAAGGCGGAGCCACCGGAAGGGGCUCACCGUCGACGAUGGUGGCUUGGCGGAGGUGCUCGGCAUUACGCCGGUGCCCUCAGGCCGGUAGAGCGUGACCUAAGACCUUCUACAGCACCAGUGGACUAUGGCGAAGCUUCCUAGGUACGUGGCUUGGCUUGAAACCUCGUGGAACACGCUGGCCACGAGAGCACCCAUCUCCGGCGGAAACACGGCGGCGCUGCGCGUCGUGUCCGGCGACGGAGAGCUCGGUAGAGCGUCCACCAACUGGCGCAAACGCAAGCUAGGAAACUAAGCAACCUCUAGGACCUAACCAGAGACGACGAGAGGCUUCACAGGGCUCGGCAUUGGGCUCGCCGGAAAAGAUGGUCACGGUGACCCGAUUUGGGGAAAGAAAGGAAUGGCGGCUCACCGGUGGAUUUCACGGCGAGGUGGUGGGUGGAGAAUGGAGAGCGGUUCAUGGCGAAGCUUUGGGUGAAGUUUGGUGAGCAAUGGCACAGCAAGGAACGCGCGCGAGCUCGCCGGAGUACGCUCGCGACGGAGAGCUCUCGGCGGCCGCGUUUCUGGUGAGAGGGACGAGGCAGAGCGGAAGUGGACGCGUCCACUCUGCUCGGGGCGUCGCCGUGGACGUCAUGCGCGCGCUGGGAGCUGACGAGCGGGGCCAUCGCCGGCGUACAGACGACAUCUGGCGGACAGGUGUCGAUCGGGACAUCCACGCCGGCGAGCUCAGCUCUGAAUCGAAACGCGCGAUCACCGACUGACAGAGCAACUUCGUCGACGAUUAGCUCCCAAACCAGAGCGAGUUAGAACAUGAUGUAGUUGACAAAGUUGGAGUACUAGCUGUGAUCUAUAACUUUGUAAACUGGAGCAAAAGCUAGAUCGGCCUGGAUCAAGAGGUAUGAAGUUUUCAAAACCGAUCAAGCAAACUGGUUUCGUUCGAGGACUUAGAAAAUUUUCUAAGUGUUGGAAACAGCCCCAAAUCUGCCUUGUGGGUCACUUUUGAGCUAUUUGUGUUCAUUUUCAUGAGAUGGCCAUAAAACAACUUUUGUUCCUUAUAAAAUUUGCUACAACUUUGAUGUAGGAAGUUUUGACAUGCAAAUAUUUUAUGAAACACGUUUUAAAAGCCUAAGGAAAAGAGGUUUCUAGGGCCUAUUUACACAAGUAUGACUUAAAGGCAUAUUUUGGAGAAGUGAUCAACAUGAACAUUGUUCCCAAGGUUAAGUUAAGCAUAGAUAAACUAAUUACCAAGGCACAGAGCACAAACACAAGCAUGGUUCACUCAAACAUAAGCAUAGGAAACCUAUUUAAGCAAUUUAAAUCACAAUUUUGCAUAGAAUGACAUGGCUCAAGAUAGAUGAUGAUCAUGCUAUGCUUUGAGUGGAUGAUGAUGCUCAUGCUAUGCACAUGAUCAAUGCAACCAUAACACUGGGGUGUUACAAUAUAAGAGACGCGGUAUUCAACCGGGAAGUAUUCCAGGUAUCGUUAUUUAUAUUUUUACCACUGGGAAGGGAUUAACAAUCAUCACUAUUGAUUACAGAAUAGAAUAUGAGAUUGAGUAUCUAUCAUUGCAUAUGUAAUUGAGAACAUUUAUCUAACUCUUCAUACAGGGAUAAGUGUCACAUAAAAGAUAUAUGAAUUAAUGAAUAGUGACAAAGAUAAUUAAUCUUAUGAUAAGCACCUCAAUUAGAUACUCUAGAAAGUCAUUACCAUGGUAUUAGAACGAACUAUAAGAAUAUUCCCUAAGUUAUUCUCAACUAUAUAGUCUAGCAUAUCAUAGUUAGUGCAAGCAUACUUAGCAAUCAUUGCGAGACAAGACUACGCCCAUGCAUAGUGAUAUUAGCAAGGUAAAUGAGAAACAUAGCAAUCACUCCCCUAUAAUAAUAUUGCUCUGCCAGCCCAAUACACGAGAGGAGGACUAUAUAAGAAUCAAUGAAGCUGUCACUAUCACGAACUACCCCACGAUCUGGCAUAUUGGGUACAAUCGUAGAUAAAUACGGUAUAAGCACCACGCCUACACAAUAUCUAUCAUUUACCCAUGGAUCCAAUGGAUAAACACUAUACGAUCCUAAGCAUGUAUAUAGAUCGAAUCUAACUAAGCCAAGUACAUAACUAUGAUAAACUAAGAACAAUAUAAUCUUGAAUAUAAGCAAGUAGAGCAAAGUCAUAAGCAAUAUAUUGAAGUAGAACAAAGUCAUAUUCAUAAUAUUGAAGAACAAAGAUAAUUAGAAAGCAAUUAGAAGCACAAUUAGAGAAUUACCAAGAAUCCUUCUGACAGAUCUGGAAACCAAUCGAAGAUUGACUCCUUCUAGUUCUAAUCCUAUGUAGCUAUGCUAAUCUAGAUAUCUAAUUGAUGUGGUGUCUCUAAUCUUGAUCAGAGGCUUCUUCUCCCUUGAGGAACAAUGAAUUAGGGUUGAGAGGCUCCCUCCUCCAGAGGCCAGGGGGUCUGGUUUUAUAGUCCCUUCAAGUGAAUAUGGGCCGUUGGAUCAAACCGACAUAGAUUGUAUGGUUUAGAUUCAUCCUUUAGGUCGGUGGAGAUCUCCCACGAAGCAGAGUCCUGAUUGGACUCUCAGAGGGGGCGGGCGCCCAGGGCAGGAGGGCGGGCGCCCUGCCUCUGGCCCCGUUUCGCCUCCGCUUCGGUCUCGUGGCUUCUGGAGUCUUCUAGAUGUAAGAUAAUUGCGCGGCUUGUUAAUAUCUCUAUGUAAUCCCGACGCGUGGGCCUUUCUUCCGUAUUUCCUGAUAACCCCCUGCAGAAAUAGACAAACACCAAAACUCGUGGAAUUCUAUCAGAUAAAACCCUAAGUCUAGAUGUUGAUUUCUUUUGGAUCCUUUUCUUUAUUUAUUUGAUAAUUAAAUUUUAUACUUAAGGACCGUCAACAAACUCCCCCAAGCUUACCUCUUGCUCGUCCGUGAGCAAGGAUAGACUCAGCUAUGGAUCAUAAGUUGUUGCAAUAUCUUUAAAUUGACGGUACACAUGCUUUUUAAAUAAGAUCUCAUCUCUGAGUUAGAGUAAACUUUCAAGACUUAAAACUUACUUACUUUACCCUCACCAUGGGACUUGUAACCGUCACUUCUGUCUUGAGUAGUUAAAAGAUAGAACAGUCUAGUCAAGUGCCAUGUCUCUUAUUCUUGAUCAGCUAUAGCUCUGGUGUUUUUGCAGAUUUUCAAAUAAAACUCAGAGAUUCCUUGUAUGACUCUCUAAAUCUCUUUUUUGUGGUAUUUCUGGAUCCUUACCAAGGCAGUGAUGGUAUAUGCCUUCUCUCAAGAUAUGUGGUAUUUGUGGUAUAAAGCAUAGUGACAUUGUCUUCUCUCUCACCCUACUCUAAUAAGGCUUUAAUAUCUGGAGCUCAUAGGUGGGAGAUAAAGUAUACAUACUUACAAGACAUUUAUUGUAUAGUCAAACCAUGGAUCCAAAGAAACAAAUCAAUAAGCCAAAUCAAGAUGUGCAUGUGUGGCGAAUGAAUGGUGUAUGUGAUGAUGGUGAUAACAAUGGUGAAAACAAUGGUGGUGGAAGUCUAAUUCUACUUUUGCUCUUUGAGGGGAUACAUACCUUCCUUGCUUUUUGAAACUUUAUGAGGAGAAUGAGAUGCUCUUCUUUUUCUUUUCUCUCAGGUGGGUAUCUUGUACCCCUAAUUCUUCUGUCGGACACUUGUCCAUUUUUACCUCUCGUCUCACUUUUUUCUUUUCUUUCGAGGUUCCGAGCACUUGCUCCUUUUUACUUUCUCGUAUUUUUCUUCUUUUUUUUAGAGCACUCAUCUCUUGAAAUAAUAUAGCAAGUGGUAGUAGCAAGAUAACUUGAGCAUUUAUUUCACAAGGGAAAACAGAAAUAUUUUUGGCUAUUCUCUCCCGGAUUAGGAGUAGAAUAUUUUUGGGUGGUUCUGGAGAUGGAAAUGAAUGGAUAUAUGUGGAUGGUACUUCCGGAGUAGAAGUAGCAAAUAUGAGUGAACGUGCAAGUGAAAUCUUGAUUUAACCACAUGACAAGCUCCUAAGGGUCUACACAGCUUGACCACACUCAAUGCUCAUAAGCAGUAAAUAGUAAAUGUGUGGCUCAAAGUCUAACAAGCAUGUAUAUAUGGCUGUGGUAGGAAUUUAAACUCUCAUCAUAGAGAAACUCAUCAUGCAACAUUUUAAAGAUUUUCAAAGAUAAAAUUCUCCAGAAUUCUAGCUUCUCUAGAAACAGAUAAACAGCAGCUCAACCUUCCCAUAUCGUAUCCGUUAACAACUUAGAUUUCAGAUCAAGUUUUCAUCCCACAAGUUUAGGUCUAGAGCAAGCUUUAAAUUAUAAUAGUUAUAUCUAAACUUGAGAGAGAACUUAAAAUAUGCAAAUUAGGCAGAGCAACUAUUCAUCAUAUCCAUGCUUAAGUUUUAUUUAGAUACAGAUUAGCAUAGCCACUUUAUUUAUUUAUUAAACACACUAAGCAAAAGACAUAUAUAUAUAUAAGCACAAAAUCUUUAUUUGGUUUUUCAUAGUUUAUGUAUUUUAAUAUAGUAUAAGUAUAAACAUUGAAAGAUAUAAAUACUUAGCGGGAUAAUUGGGGGUGCUCUCCCCCAAGCUGAAUUUUGAUGUAAUUUCCCUUGAUGUAGCUAGCAGGCGGCAGAGGUGUAUUUGAAAGUCAGCAGCAUUCUGACAGCGAUUAGAAUGUCCUCUGUCUGCUAGUCUUCUUGAUUCUUAAAUUCUGUGGAGCUCAAAUAGACAACAAAGCUUGUGGAACUGGUUAAGUGUUAGCAUAAAUAUCUAGCCUUUAUCAUGUUGAGACUCCUUAAUAAUUAUUACUCCCUGUUUUUAUAUUUUUAUUUUAUAAAGCAGAAAAGAAAUUUUUAUUUUUAUGCCACCACAGUGAAUGUACUUAUGGGUUUUAUGCCACUCGUAUACUCACAUGGGGCUUACUGUUUUUUAACAUUUUUAUUUCCUUUUUAGGAUCGUAAGUAAACUAGUUGACAUAAUUGAAAGGGAAAGGAUAACUACCAAGUUUACCUCUUGGCAAGGCGUUCGGUGUUUUUAAGUCCUCCGAACGGGACUCUCCAUUUUCUCAAUUGUCCUGAGGUUUGUUGGGUGGCGUAGUCGGUACUUCCGGCAGCGCCUCCUCUUCAUGUAUAGUUAUCUUCAUUUUCCACACCUGACUUGGUGCUUCGGUCUCCUCUGGAUAAUUCUGUUUAAACUCUAUGUCUUCUGACCUUAUCACUUCUCCUUCGUAGUCUGCCCAUCCAUCCUUGAUGAUCUGCCUCCUCUGGAUGCGGUUGCGUCGUUUUCUUACCUGCUUAGAUUCUUCAACGAUAUAGUUAGGGUCAGUAAAAUAACGGCGUACCUUCUCUGAGGGGAAGUGCAUAUGGACUUCUCCGGUUCCAAUGUAGAUAAUUGCUUUAACGGUGCUGAGGAACGGUCUUCCAAGGAUGAUGGGUGGAUCAUACUCGUCUUCUCCCAUGUCAAUAAUUUGAAAGUCUGUGUAGACAAAGUGAUCGUCUAUUUUGGCUGGGACAUCAGUUACUAUUCCUUUAACUUCUCGAAAUGUCUGAUCUGCCAUCUGAAGCUGAAUGUAUGUUGGUCUUAGUGGCAUGGUUCCGAACAAGAGCCAAUAGGUGACUGCGGCCAUUAUGUUGACGCCCGAUCCGGUAUCACAAGUUGUCUUGUAGAAGCUGUAUCCAUUUAUGGAGCAGUAGAUGCUUGGCAUUCCUGGGUCAUCCUUCUUGGUCAAAAAUGGUGACUUAAGUUGGUGAUCUUGGCCUCUAUGAACUGCAGUGACCAUCUUAGCUGACUCGGUCCACACUUGCUUGUUCUUGUUCCUCCUGUUGGUCCUCUUCCUUGAUUCACGUCUGGAUUGAUCUGGAAUUUGUGUAGUCUUGUUCUUGAAGAAAAAUGUCUCCUUCCUCCCUUUGACGUAGAAACUGAUUUUGGCAGCUCUAGCGUAGAUGAUAGCUCCCGUGGUGUUCAAGAAUGGCCUCCCUAAGAUGAUUGGUGCCCUCUCAUCAUUUCCGAUCUCUACCACUACGAAGUCUGCUGGGGUAUACAAGGUACCAACACGGACACAAAGGUUCUUCAAUAUUCCUUUUGGAAAAGUUAUUGUCUGAUCUGCAAAAUGCAAACACAUGGUUGUCUCUAAUAAAGGAUAUGUAAAGAAUUUUUCAUAGAGUACCCUGGGUAUAAUGUUGACGCUAGAGCCAAAGUCACAGACUGCUUCUAGGACAUCCACCAUGCCGAUGGAGAUCGGGAUGAUGGGGCGUCCUAGAUCGCCUUUCUUGACCGGCAGAAGGUCAGUAGUGAAUUCAGUGAUGGGGUUACUCCAAUUAUUACCUGCAUCAAACAUGUCUACAAGAUUUGCAGAUUCUAAUCCUUC